CUGUCCAUUUUUUUUGGUAGCGAAAUCGUCGUGGGAGAGCCAAAUUAUUAUGAGAAAUUAAACUCUCCGUUUAUUGGUACGACGGGAAAUCAAAUUAUGAGACUCGAUCUGGCGGAUACGUACACGUGCGCCGUGCUGCCCGCACACGUCGCGCCGGCCGGCGGUGUCCUCGUCGUCGUCGUCCGUCCACCGGCUGGCCGGUGGGACCCGCACGUGCAGUCGUGUGCAUACGUACGUCGAGCGAUCGAUGUACGCCCUUGGAUUUAAUUUGCAAGUAGUCCAUGGCGCCGCGGCGGCCUCGUACGUCGAUCGCCGUCGUGGCCGUUAGAUGGAACUGCAACGCUCACGCUCUGCACGCCUCGAAUCGUACGUGCGGGACGUGCCUGAUACUACUUGGCUCUGCACACGUCGCGGGCCCGCCGCCGAUGACCUCAUGCAUCCACCUACCGUACCGGGUCCGGCCCGGCCGGCGGUCGUCCACCGCCCGUCGUCGACGGUAGGUACAGCUAGCACAGGUGUACACUCGCGGAGGCCGCCAAGUACGUACGCGCAGGGAACGUGCGUACGUAACGUGCCGACCGGGCCACGCCGCACCGCAAGUUUUUUUUUUUUUUCUUCCGUCCUUGCAUGGAUAUAUACGGCGGUACGGUCGCGGCUAGAUGUGUGUGUAGAUGCGUCGUUAUUAAUUUCUCGUUGAAUCUUAUCCUGGUGAGAUCAUACCACGGUUCUCUGUUUGGAACCGAUUAAGUUGGAUUAUCGUUGGGCCACCCACCGUGAAAAAUGACCCCAAAAAAAAAUCCUAUCUAUUACUCACAAACCGCCACAAUAGGGAAAGUUUGAUUUCUACGUCCGUAAUUUGCAAAAAAAAAAACAUUUAAAAAAUUAACUAAAACUAUAUUAAAAAAAAGAGUAGUAUUGUUAUACAUACUAUAAGUAAAUCUCAUAGGCUCGUCAUAAAAUGUAUUUUUGUGGUCUUAAACACUUGCUUGUAUAUAUAUACGGCGGUCCCGCCAAACUUGGUGUCGUAGUUGUUUACGCUUGAUCUACCACGAUAGCACCAAAAGAGACCGGUGCUGAUCGAGGAAGCAUACAUACCUUGUUCUCGUCCACAUCCCAUCUAGAUCUUCCCAACCACUACUAAUGUGUCUUUUGGUCCCUGGUCAAUACUCAAUACUAAAAAACAAGGUAGCCUAUGAUUAUGACCCUGUUUGGAUACUCUAACUAAGUUAGAGGUUAGAGUUAUUCUCUAACUCAUGACUAGCCCUCAACUAACUCUAACCAAAGAGUUGUUUGGAUACAAGGGUUAGAUUGACGAUGAAUGUACUCCUAGCUAGAUUUGGUGUGGCCGGCUGUUGUGUGGCCUCCUCCCGCUCAAGGACCAAUAAUUGAAGAUAAAUAAACAGAAACUAGGUGGCUGAUUAGAAAGUCAGUUUCUUUCUUAGCUCUCUCUUUAUAAAUAUAAAUCUCUACGUACAUCUAAAGAACUCCAAAGUAAUCAUCUACUCGGUAAUACCAAAUCUCGCCCCUGCUCAUGUAUCCACAUCCAAUAGGAAUGGUUCUCCACUCAGAGCUCACACAUCCAUAUCCUACUCGGAGUUCAGUGUCCACAUCCUACCCGGUUUCAAUACAAAGACCAGAUCCACAUAUCCGUAUCAGAGCUCACGCUUCUACGUCCGAGUAAUGAGGUCCGAUCAGUCCAAAAAAAAAUUAUGAUCCUAGUGCAACGCACGAGCAUACAUCUAUUGUAAAUAUAAAUAUUAUGACAUUUGUUAGUGGGGUAGUCAGGAAGAGAUAUAAAGCUGUGGAUAUUUCUUUUUACUAUCCUACGAUGAGCAUGUGCUUAGACAUGAUAUAUAUUUAGUAGAUACUCCCUUCGCUUGUAAUACAAUACAUUCUAGUAUUCAAAAAUUAUCCUCAAAUAUAAUGCAUUUUGAAGGACAAAACUCAAUUUUGCAUUCAUCAACCAAUCACUAUUAAUCUCGUUGAUGAUAGCGUCGGAUUAGUAAAUAAAAUAAGGAUAUAUUCGUCAUUUAUGUUCUCUCUUAACAUAUCUUAAAAUUCCUAGAAUGCAUAUAACAAAAAUGUAUUUUACCUAUAGAAACAAAAUAACAAAAUAAUAUAUAUAUAUAUAUAUAUAUAUAUAUAUAUAUAUAUAUAUAUAUAUAUAUAUAUAUAUAUAUAUAUAUUAUAGAAUGGGUAGAGUACAUAUAUCCUGAAAAUUAGGACAUAUGGCCCCGUUUGAAUCCUUUGGAAUAUCCGAAUAGGAAAAAAAAUACCUUAGAAUCACGCUAUCUUAUCCAAACGAUCAAGAUUUUAAAGUGGUCUUAACUCACAGAUUUUUACAACCUCAAAAUCCAAUUAAAGUUGUGAUUCUUUUAUCCAAAUUCUAAAUCUGAUACGAUCCAAACGGCAGCAAUAUGUAUAUAUGUGCUCUUUUUUUGAGAAAAAAAUAUGUGUAUCUUUUGUUUCCUCUCUCUCUCUUUUUUUUUAUGCGAGAAGCAGGGAAAGCUGUAGUAUGUAUUGUUGCCUCGAUCGCAUUUGCAUCCAUUCGAGACAGCAUGGAGUAUUGCUAUCGGUGAAUGCAUGGGAUGGAAUCUCAUAGAGAUAAAGAUGGGGGAAACAUGAAAACUAUGUGAAUAAAUUUAUUUUGAAAAACAUUUAUAUAAAAGUAUGCAUAUACUACUUUUUGAUAAAUAGAGUAUUUUUAUAAAAACAAAGAGUUAAAGUUAGAUUCUAAAAAUUAUAUCGUUGUUCUAAACAAUUUCCUUUAAGAAUACGGGGUGAGCAAAAUUCAACGAGAAAUUAAUAAGGAAUGCAUCUACUCGCGGCCGCCGUAUAUAUCAAUGCAAUGACGAAAAGAUCCUUGUGGCGCGGCCCGGUCGGUUACGUAGGUACGUUUCCUGGUACGCGUACGUGUAGAGUACGUAAUUGGCCGCCUUCCAGAGUGUACGCCUGUACUGUACGGUACUGUGGGACCAACCGUCGACGCUACCGGCCCCUGUACGGUGGAUGGGAUCAUCGAUCGGCCGCGACGUGUGCGGUGUGCGGGCCCGGCGGACCCGCUCAGAGCUAGUUGUCCUAUCUGGCACUGGCGUCUCGACCGUGGGGCCUACCCCGCGCACGCACGUGCAGAGCGUGAGCGUUGCAGUCCGGACACGACGGCGAGAUCGACAAGGCCGCCGCGGCGCCGUGGACUUUUCCGUACACCGAUGGACCUAUGGACACGACUGCACGUGCGGGUCCCACCGGCCGUUUAUCCAUCUAAUGACGGCAAACCUUGUGGCGCAGCCGACCGGCACGUGCGUGUACGUACAUCAGGUAGUACGUGCCCAGGUACUCCCCUACUUGGCGUCGAAUCGUUGCGGUUCAAACCAACGGCCACGACGACAUGCAAUGGCGUCGCACGGCUGCGGCUGCGGCCGGCACACAUGCCUUGACCGACACAAAAGUGCUUCCUCCCGUCGUAUAAAAAAAUGACAUAGAAAAAUAUAAUUCUUUACGUAUUAUAUUAAUUAUAGGAUACAUUAUCCCGUUUAUUAAAAAGAUGCAGUUCUUUUUAUUUUGGACGAAAGAGGGACUUAUAGAAAUCUUGGCACACUACAUCCUCAAAUUACACAUGAAAAAAAAAAUCUGAAAUAAAAACUUUAUCACAAUCUAUCCAAAUUCUUCCAUCGUUUUUUUUUUCAAUGGAUUCCCUCGAAUGUCGUAGCCAAAAUAUAGUUCUUAGCCGCAUUCAUCGACCAACCCUGAUACAUUAGACAUGCGCAAAAUCUAACGCUUCGGAACUAUAGUACAAAACACAUCUAAAUUGUUAAAAAAAUAUUGACAGUUGCAUCAUCUGGUACUAAAUAGGUUGCGGAAUCAAUAUAUGGAAACCUUGAAUUUCUCCUCAUGACCAUCGACAAUGAGAUUGAGGAUCCGGAGUCGCUAUCUCUGUAGGCGGCUCCAAGAAGCACUCCUCCCUUUGCAGAUAAGGGCCAUAAAUUGGCCGUCUACCAAUGAAAUCGACGCCUACAACGGUGAUCUCAUCGUGGCAAGCACCAAAGCCAUCGCAGGAACACAAUCCCGACCGGAAAUCAUCUAGUUUUGCCAAAAACUAUUUAGACUAAAAUCAUAAGACACUAGAAAACUAUGGAAAAAAGAUGAGUCCACUCCUCCUUAUCUCUGGUAGAGUUCACCGGAGUGAAAGAAGGAGGAGGCCCCCUUGGCGUGAUAGCGGCGGCGGCGGCGGCGGAGCAAGGAGCCAGCGGUCCUACAUAGACCCUAUAGGUAGCGGUAGCGUGAAAGAGGGCACCGUCGUUGUUAAAAAAAUACAAUUCUAAAAUAGUGUUACAUCAAACAAUUUGUCAAAAAAAGAUGCAAUUCUAGAACAGUGCUUUAAACAAUUUGACCAAAUCUAUUAUAAAAGAUAGUGAUAUUGUCAUACUGUAAGUAAAUCUUAUAGUGUACGUGGUCAUAAAAUGUAUCUUUUUGUCUUAAAACUUACUUGGAGUCAUAUAGGCUCAUAAUGAUUUCUAUAAGCUUAAUCAAACUGAAAUUAGUCCGACUUUGAUCAACUACGUUUUUUCUAUGGAUGGAGGUAGUAUUUUUGUAAUAUAAACCUAUUUGUAUACAAAACUAAAAUACAUAUACUAAUUAAUAUACAACUACUAGUUAUACUUUGUCACACCCAUAUUUUAAGAACAAAAUAGGAUGCAUAAAAGACUCAUAUGUGCCCCAGAAACAGUCGCACACAUAAGUAGACAAAUCUCAAAUGUACCAUCGCAGUGUUUAUUACAUAGCGGAAUAUAAAAUAUCACAUAGUCUCAUACAAAAAUGAUAGCAUAAAGUAAACAACGCUCUCGACGGAAGCUCCACACAGGGACACUGUUGACUGGUUGACUCCAAACCUAGUACUUAUAACGGUAAUCCUCAUUCCAGACAUCUUCAUUAUCAUUUCCUGAGGUGUUGGGAAAUUGCAAGAGUGAGCACAUAUCGUACUCAACAAGUAUAACCAGGGGUUCAUGAGGCUCAAAUAGCUGACACUGGUUUGACUGCAAUUAGCUUUUAAUAGUGGAUAGCAUGUUUAUAAUUAAUGAGCAAUUCUCAAGGUAGCAUAAAUAAUCCAUUAAUCCCAUAACCACAUGAUCAUUUGUAUACAGGAAUUAUGAAUAACACAUAUAAACAACAUAAUAAACCAUCAUUUAUUAUCAUUAUUCACGUUCAUCAGUGUCCAUCUAUUCCGUCAGUUUUCCGGGCCGCCCGUAUCCGUGGGCACGGCUAGUAUACCAUAUUUAACACUCUGCAGAGGUUGUACAUCUUUACCCAUGAGUCAUGAUUUACCCUUUCGCCCGAGGCCCGUCGACCUCUUAGCUCACUUCCAAGGAAAGCCGGCAGGGUUCACUAUGAAGUCUUUCAAAGGUUCGUCUAGCAAGUUAGGGCCGCAAGGUUUCCUUUGCGCGCAGAUAUAGAUACCCCCCUUCCGAAUGGCACAAUGACGCGCAGCCUAUACACAUAGGGACAGGGGCUCGCACUAUACCCAAAACGGUUCAGCCCCUCCGCCCUUUCGGGUAACCUCUAACAAGCUAGAAAAGCUUACUCAUACUUGACUAAAGCCAGAGCCAUAUAGCCCUUAUGGUUGUACGAGUUGUCCCAGCUUUUGCCAAGGGAUAAGUCCUUAUGGAGGGUCAAGAUCAAUCCAGCAAAAGCUAGAGUUCUUUCCACCCUUUAUAUUCAAGUUGCUAGAAAGCUUAUUUGAUUGUUUAUUGUAUAUCCAACAUUCAUGUUACAAGAUCAUGGAUUAUAAUCAAGCACUAGCAAGAACUACCCAAAUGCAUAUCCAAAUAGGUAACAAGGAAUUCAGGAUAACAAUCAUCUAUGAUUUUGCUAAGGUCAUCAAGGUGGACACAUGCACAUGAUAAAUGUUAUAUUAAUUGUGUAUAGGUAACAAGGAUAGUCCCAAGUUAUACUUGCCUUGCUCAAAGCUCUCCUGAGCUUGCUGGUCCUCAAAAGCUCGGUCUUGGUCACCAACGUACGGCUCACCGUCUAAUCCCAAUCAUCAAUCAACAACACGCAUUCUAAUGUAGACAAUCAUACACGAAGCAAACAAGAUAUAAUUAGAGCAAUACACCAAAUAGUAGUAAAACAAAUGUAAAAGUUUAUCAAAAUAUUCUACGCAGCGCUACGAUCACACAAACGUAAAGUUCACGAAAAUCGGAUUUAAAACGUAGAAGUUAUGAAUUUUCUAAGAUUUCUAUAGAGAAAUAAUUAAUUAAAUAGAACCAGGAAAUUAAAAAGUUUCAAAACAGUAAACUAAUAUUUCUAACAUGUAGAUAUCGUAAAUACGAAUCCAACGGAAUUUGAAUGGACAAAAACGGAGUUAAAAUGAGCAUUUUAUAAGCAAAACAAAUCUAGUGGCAAUUCUGUAAUUUCUGGAAAGCGCCUUUGAAACUCAGCCGACAGAAAUACGCUUUUGAAACUGGAAAGCGUAAACUCCUCUAGGGCGCCAGGACCGCGGGUUUAAAUAAGAGGAAGCCGAGGGUCUCUUUAAGAGUUUUCACCCCGAAGUGGUAUCUUUUAAUCACGAUCGUCGAUUCGCAAACGGACGGCUGGUAUUCGAUCUGGGCGGGGCUGGCCGGCCUCCUCGCCGGAACAGGAGCGGCCGCGGCGGAUUUCCAUUGCCGGCGUCAAGCUCCUCGCCGGAGUUCACCAAAGCGACGCUGCGGUUCACCAAAAACAACACCGAAGGCACUGGAGUGAAGAGAAAGGAAUGGCGAGCUCACCACGGAGGUCGGCUCGGCCCGGGAAGGAGCAGUUGCGCGCGGCGGCGGUAGGAGUUCACGGCGAGAUCCAAACUCCGAAGAACGCGACGGCUAGGGCUCGGAUAGAACUCCGUGGGUGCGAAAGGGGUCCCUCGGGGUGCUUAGGAACUUUAUAGAGGUUUGAUUCCUCGAAAAAGGCAAGGGAUCGCGGGAUUACGGUUUUGGCUCGGGAAGGAAGCUUCCCCUGCUCGCGACACGGCUGGGAAGAAGAAGGAAGGUGGGAUAGGGGAGACUGACGCGCGGGGCCCGGUUGGCGGUGAGAGAGGAGAGAGAGCGCACCUGCCUGGGCCGUUUGGGCCGCUGCGGUGCGGUGGGGGGAAAAGGGAAGCGGGCCGGGGAAGGAGUGGGCCGCACGCGGGGUGAGGAGAAGGAUGCGCAUGUUGGGCCGCGGGGGAAAAGUUUGUUUUCUCUUUUUUUUCUGUUUUUAUUUUCCAAAACAUUUUCCAAAUAAGAUUUUGAAUGAAAAUAAAUCCAAGCCAGAGGCAACAUUACAAAAUAAAAUAUGUCUCAGCAUGAAUGCACAAAAUCAUGUUACUAAGCUUAUGAUAAAUUUUAUUUUCCACAAAAUUAUUUAAGUGCUAACUUUAAAUGCUCACAAAAUUCUUAAAUAAUUCAAAUUAAAUCCUAUUAAUUGAAAUUCAAAUUUUGGGUGUUACAUACUUUUUUUAAUGGUGAGUGGCAUGGAGUAUGAGAUAUCACAUGACGGUACACAUACGUCUACACAUGUGUGUGGUACAAACUUUGGUGUCGUAGUUUACGCUUGAUCCACCAUGAUAGUACCGUACCAAAAGCCUGCUGCUGAUCGAGGAGAAGCACCUUGUUCUCGUCCGCAUCCAAUCUUGAUCUUCCCUACUACUACUAACAAGCUCGAAGCUAAUUUAUCAUUAUAUUGCUAUGUGCUAGCUAGUAAUAAACUAAUAAUGUAAUCCAAGCACAUAUAUACCUAUGUGGCUACUAUGUCCUACGUGUUAGGAAACAAGAUAGGUAACAAACCUAUAUAUCAACAUGAAAGAGAGAAAAAAGAAUAAAAUUUUUUCUAGGGUUUUUAAUGCAAAAUCUCCUAUUACUUUUCCGUCCAACGUUCAUAGAAGAGCAAAAACAAAAUAAAAAAACAUUCUAAGAUUCCUAAUGCACCUCUGUCGUUGGUCGGUCCAAUCAGCCCAUCCGGAAUCGGUAGAAUGGAAGAGAGAAAAAAGAAUAAAAUUUUUUCUAGAAUUCCCAAUGUAAAAUCUCCAAUUUACUUUUCUUUUAUUUUUUUUUAAAAAUCGGCUAAAAAUUGAUAAAUGUAUAGUAAUUCAUAGAAAAAUUUAAAAAUUAUAAAACAAAUUUUGUUCAGCUCCACAUAUGUAGAUCCAUACAGUAAAUAAAAAAUAUCACAAAUUUUAGUACACUUUUUUUUGUUGGAAAUGCUUGCCUAUAUAUGCUUUUUAGUGUAAAAUUAAAAUUGUAGUUAUCUUACUCCAAUUAUUAUAAAAAAUUUAUGGUAGCCUAUUUAAUGUGAUGCUUGAUUCAUAUUUCAUAGCAAUCCUAAUCUAAAUAAAAAAAUAAUGCUAGCAUCAAAUUUCUCAUGUUUUAAUAUAAUACUGAGGUAUAUUAAGAGGUAAUAUUAGAGUGAGAUAAGGUUUAACUAUUUUCUAUUUUUAUUAUUAAAUAAAUAUGUCUUCAAGCUACAUAUAUUGUAAAUAUUAACUAUCUAAUACCAUAGAUGUUAUGGUUAUCAAUAAAAUAAAUUAUGGACUUUAAAUUUUAUAAAAAAGAUAAAUAUAAAUAGAUAUGUAACAUUAUGUCAUCACUUUCUAGGGUCAUUUGAUGUUUUUCUUCCGUUGCAACGCACGGGCAUAUUUGCUAGUAAGAAUAAUAAGUCUAGUAUACUCUGUAUUAGAUUAGUCAUAGGAACUCUCUUUUAAAAAAAUACUCACUCCAUAUUAGUAAUUGAAGUGUUAAAAUUAAAUUGUCCAACCUAAUAGUAUAGAGGGAGUAUAAUUGUACAACACUGCUAGGUCAAACGCUUUAGAAUUUAACAAUAUCUACAUAAAGGAUAUUAAUUUUAUAUAUCAUACCAAAUAAAAUAUCUACAUACCGAAUAAAAAAACUUAAGAUUAUUUGAUUUUGACUUUGAUCCAAACUAGAAUUGAGUUUUUUUUUUGUGUGAAUGUAGUAUUUUUUUGUAAUAUAAUAAACCUAUCUAGAUAAGCUAAUAUUGAUAGAUUUUAUAAACACCUAGCCAAACUUAAAAUGUUUCAAACUAUUAGCCACGAUGUGUUGCGCCCGUGAGUACCAGCCACCAGCACCACGAGCACCUUAUGUCUUUCCGCCACGCAUCCCAUGGGAGGAAAGAAAGGUUAUAAGAAUAGUUUUUAUUAGUGGUUUAAUUUUUACUGACAUGGUACAUAUAGAAAUUACAGAUAUAGUUUCACGAUAGUGCCUUAGCCAAACUUAAUUUUUUUUACUUGAUUGAAAUAUAGAUUAUACUCUUUUCUAACCAAUAGGGGGUGAUGCCAAUAUGCUUAUUCCUUUCUUAUGGCGACUAGCUUUGAAUAGAGAUAGUCCCUCCGGUCUAGUUUAUAAGACACACACAUCAAGCGAUUCAAACUUUAUGUUCUUCGAUUAUUAAUUUGGUCAAUAAUGGUCAAAGUACUGUGAUAAGUGGGCGACGGUAUCACGUCAAACUGUGCUUUAUAAACUAGACAAGAUGAAUCAAUACACAUGAUACGUAUACGAUAGCACAAAAAGACCGUUGGAGAGGAAGCAUAUCUUGUUGCACACCCAUCUUGAUCUCCCCUACUAAUGUCUUCUGGUCGCUAGUAAAUAUACUAACAAGAGCCUAUGAUUUAUAUUGCUUAUAUAUAUGCUAGCUAGUAAUGUAAAUAUGUAUGUAGUCCAAUCACAUACAUGCCUAUGUCCUACAAGGACCAAUAAUUGACGAUAAACAAACUGAAAUUAGCUGGCUGAUUAGACGAGCAAGAUCUCAUUCUUUGUUUCUUAGUUUCUUCUAUUUAAUCCGCGCGCAUGACGUCUGCUAGUGUCUAGUGGGGUGGUAGACAGUCGGAAAGAAAAGGUACAUAAAACCUGUGGAUCUUGGAAGCAAUGGAAGAAGAAACUCUACUACAUGAUUGACACGAGGAAGAAAGGACAACAAGGACACACCAAGGAUCAGAAAAAUACAUAUGCGAGACAAGCAAAUGUUUUGGCACCAUUGGUUUUUCUUUAUUUUUGGUCUUGCGUGCGCGGGACCAACCACCCAAACAUCCAUGACUUGUGUGAACCACCACCUGUGUCUGUGUGUGUGCGCCUAAACAUUUUCAUAGCUUUGGACCUUUUGGUCGUAGAGAGGCAAUAAUAUAUAUAUUAAUUUGACACUACUUAUAUCUGAAAGUUCAAUUAUGUUCACUUUUGAUAGUAUAAUUCGCAGUAGAAUGUUCUGCACACAUGUCACACUAUGGAUGGAUGGGUGAACAUGAACCCCGGCUAUGCAUGUUUCUGUGACCACACCGUUGCAGUGGCACGGUCAAAUUUAGACUGAAAAGAAUCUGCUAGCUGCUACUGCUAGCUAGCUCGGUCUUUAAUUUAGAAAGGAAGAAAACGGAAGAAGAAUCUGCUGCAUGCACACAUCAUCACUGUGCUAGUUGAAAGGUUUGGUGCGGGCACUCCACACGUGAACGAACUUCAUUUCUCCUCUCCUCACUAUCACACACAGCAGACAAUUUUUAGAGAUGGUCAAAAUCGAUUUCAAAGACGGUUUUUGAAACUGUUAUUACAUCAUCGAUCUAUUAAUUUCUAGAGCGGGUGAAUUACUGUCCAUAAAAAUUGAUUUUCAAGGUUGGUUGAAAUUAUUGCUUUUAUGAGUGGUUGGCAUAACCGCAUAAUUAAGGAACUAUCUCUAAAAAAUAUAUGAUUUUUUGGAUGGCUGUUUUAUGUCAACCACGACUGAAAAAGAUAAAUUAUCAAGGACGGUUUUAUUAUGUCAAACACCAUUGAAAUUGAUUUUUAGAGAUGCUCUGUAAGCUACGGUGCUGCGCAUAGUAUCAUUUAUAAAAGGCGGUUGGUUAAGUCAACCACUUCUUAGAAAAGCAGGCUGAUGUGUUUAUAAAAAUCAUCUACCGAGUAGUGAUAAUAUAAAUAUAGUGAGAGCCACAAUCCUUGUGCUUAUUCAAUUCCAGAGAACCACAUAGGUAGUUAUACUUCCUCAUUAGAAAAUCAGCAGAGCAAAGAUCAAACACUAUCUCUGCAGAGGAAAAUGUUUUCGCAAAAGUCAUCACAGCAAAUCUACGCGCAUUAUACAAUUUUGUAUCAGCCUCGUUGACAAACAAAUAAAUUCCAUGUGACUGAAGAAACUCCUAGGAGUGCACUAGCUACAGUAGUGGAGUCCCAUGAAGGAGGAAACAAAACGAUUCCUAGACUCCAUCCACUGCCGGGCAAAGUGUAGGGGUGUGGGGUUCACAAAUCACACACAAGUGCUUUGCUUUGCUUCCAAUAAUUCGGCCAAAGCAACGUGAGGUAGCUAUGCUGCAGCGAAGAAAGGGUUUUUGGUUGGUGGGUGGCGGUCAAACAUCCAAGCCCUAGCUAGCUCAUCAGUGUUGCUCCUCCAUUAUUUUUAGUAAAGUCCGAGGGGAGGGCGGGGCCCCUGAAAAAUAAUUGACAACAGAGAAGGGUAUUCCUAUUCCAUUCCUGAUGGGGACUUUGGAGCUGUCGUAUAUAGUGCAAUGGAAAGCUGAGCACUCAGUCACCAAGAGUGAGCUAGCGUGUGUGCGUAAUUUUUGCCAGUGUCCACCUCAUUCGGUUGCGAAAUUUUGUCAGGUACAUAGAGUACACGGUACUAUGGUUUUUGUCACACAUAGCAAGAAGAUGCGAAGAGUCUGUGGGGGAGUUAGCGGCUGAAAGAGCUGGGAGUAUUUAGUAUUGUCGGUUAAGAAACAGUUGUCUUUUCUAUUGUCGGUUGCGCGUGGUUAGGCUGACUAGUGGGGUUGGGUGUCGCAUGAGAAGUACAAAGGGCACCAUGUGUAACAUUUUUUUAAGAAAAUGAAUUGGUUCCUGUAAAAUUUCUGUAGUAUUCCUGUGAAAUUCCUGCAUUCCAAAGGCGCCCUGAAUCGUUAUCGAACUGAAUGAGAACAGAAUCACUAUCUCCUUUGCGUUGCUUCUUUCUGAACUUCCAUUCUCUGUUCUUGCUGUUGUCUAUCUAAACUCUGAUUCUAUCUACUCCACAAAUCCGUCAGGUUCUUGACCCGACGACUGACAGUUUUAGUCACGGGUAACCACUAACCAGUGCUGGACACAGACUAAGAUUCAAAGUGCUGAGAGUCUUGUGUAGAGAAAAAAAAAAUGUUUUGAUAUGUGACGAUUGUCCAUCAUGGAUUCAUGGUCUCAAGGACGGAACUAUAUGUAGAGUGACCAUGCAAGCCAAAAUUUGGUGAUUAUAUAAUUUAUCACAUAUACAUCCUAUAUGGUAAAAGUCUAUACAUUCACAAGGCAAACGUACUCAUGCCAAAAUUUAGAGGAAAAAAACAGUAGUUGUUCAUCAGUGGUGGAGCUACUAUCGUUCAUGGUCUGCCCUCCAAACAAAGAACUGGAAAGGUUCUAUCAAAAAACAAAGAACUGGGACGGGGAGAGGGUAAAAAAAUCCUGGGUGGGAUCGGAUACAUACCCUCCCCCCCAAAAAAAAAAGGCAGGGCUGCUGCAUCCAGAAAAGCAGAGACUGAGAAGUCACAGUGAGACCGACCGAUCGGUGACAAAAAGUUGACGAAUCCAAUCCAAUCCAAUAAUUCCGAAAGGCAUGCAUGCAGGACGAAUGAAUGAAGCACUGGGUCGUCGCGACCACGACGAGCAUGAUGAGAUGCAGGCAGGACUACUAAGCAAGCAUGGAAUGGAACGGGGCAGUGGCCACUGGCCACCACGCGCUCGCCGAUCGCCGUGCCGUCGCUGCCGUCGGCGUCCUCCUUUGCCCUGUCCUGCACGGAGAUCGUACGUGAGCAAGCCUCCCAGCCAUCCGUCUUGCAGUAUAGCUAGCGACACUAAUAAGCUAGCUGAAAGCAAAGCAAAAUCGAUCUGCAAUCAUAAAGAUAUUGGGAUACAUGGCUGUCGGACGACAACGACGAGCCUCCAAUCAUGAACGGACUCCGGCCCGAUAUGAUGUGGUGGAUGGUGAGAAUAAUAAUGGAGAGAAAAAGGCUCAGGAUUUGACGACGUUCCUCUUUUCGAUCCUCCGGUGGAUAGGAUAUAAUUAUAGGAGUCGGCCGGACAGCUAGGGUAAGAUCAGAUGUCUGUCGAUCUGGUGUGGUGGGCAAAUGCAUGAUUAAAGGCGGAUUGAGUCAUUAUUGGUUGUGGAGCAGAUAGUAGGCUCACUGCUGUGGGUGUGGGUGAUAUCGUAGGUUUCAGAAUUCAGUCAGUGGAAGGAGCAGUCCCUGUUUGUUCCCUGUGUCAUCACUAGCUGUCAAGUUCAGUCGUCACUCAUCAGUGUGAUGGGAUUACUACAUUACAGUGUGCGAUACCGAGUCAUUCAUUCGUUCGUUCGUUCAUUAUGCAGGUGCUGGAAAAGGCAUGGUACUGUACAUCACUAGAUUGUUGUUGGUCUCUUCUUUGUUUUGGUGUAAUUCUGGGGGCUUUCUUUCUUGGUUGGUUGGGAUAAGGAAGUGAAGGCAUUUGUCAAAAAAAAAAAGGAAGUGAAGGCAUGCAUGCAUAUGAGGAUGCCUGCAGAAACGAAACAAUUCUGAACCCAUGUUAAUAAUAAUGUUGGUAUAUGUAUACCAUAUCCGCCAGUGAACAGAUACCAUGCUCUUGCAUCAAGUGUUUCCUGUUGGUUGCAAGUUCAAGCUUGGCAGCUUAGAUCUACAUUUGGUCGUCGGCGUGGGACUGACUGAAGCAAGAACAGCAGCAGCAGAACAAUGCAAAGAGGAGGCAGUGUCAUGUAUGUGUUGGGCCGGACCCAUGAUGACAACGGCCCACACAUGUCGUCCCGAGAAGAUUGCGGCCCGCUCGGUCGUUUUGGGCUUGGAGUUUGGUCCGUUGGGUCGCCACUGGAUCGGAUCAGUUUCUUGUUGUGGGCUGGGCUGUGUUCUUCUUCUCCCAGACCCUCCAUGCAGAUGGUUCAGUUUCAGUUGCUUCUUUUUUAAUAAUAAAAAAAAAAGAUGGUUCUGUUUCAGUUUUUCAAAAAGAGAUGCCUGCUAUCCAAACAAGUUGAUGACAGUAUGCAAUUGCAAAACCACCUGAUGAUGAUCAUCUAAUUAGCGCUGGACCGCGCAUUGCUGCCUGCACUGCACUGCACGCGUGGGCGACUGUUGGACGCCACGCCAUGAAAGGCCGGGCGGCAGCGGCAGCCGGUUCGAUCGAAUCGCCAUGCAUGGCAUGGAUAUGGAAGCUGCCACACCCCUCCACUACUACUCCACACUCUUGCUUGCUUGCUUCUCUGAAUCUGGCAUCUGCAUCUGCAUGAGCCCUCACGUCAAGAGAAAAAGAAACCUACUACUGCUCCAGUAGCUAGCAGCAGUACUGUACUGUAACUGUAGAGGUGGAGCGAGAAGCCUGACUGCUAUGCCCUCGCCCUGCCAUGCCCUCGCCCUGCCCGUGUGGUCUGCUCACUGGUCACCGUCUCACCACCACGACGACGACGCACGGCUGCACGCAUCGAUCGAUACGUACGGUAACAGACUACCACUCGGUCAUGCAUGCAUAUGUCUCAGGUACAGGAUACAUACACGGAACGGAUGCGUGUCUGUGUGGGCGUCUGACGUGAUAUGGAGGCAUGGCUCCCUGCUGUGUGUACUUUGACAGUGUUCACUCCACUCCACCUCGUCGUCACGUCACUGACUAGUUCUAUGAACGUGGACGUGCAGGUGUACCACUACAUGUACUAGAAUAUGCUCUCCCGGCCCAAUAGGGAAGACAAACAUUUUUUAAGUUUAAUUACACAUCUGUAGAAAAAAAAAAUACUAUCCACAUUUGUAUUUCUAGUUAAGAAUUUAUUAUAAGAGUAUAUCCACAAUUAAUAUUCACUCCAUCCCAUCAUAAAUACCCAGGCCUUGUUUACUUCCACCCAAAAACCCAAAAAAAAUUCAAGAUUCCCUAUCACAUCGAAUCUUUAGACGUAUGCAUUGAGUAUUAGAUAUAAACGAAAAUAAAGACUAAUUGCACAAUUUGAUCGAGACGAAUCUUUUGAGCCUAGUUAGUCCAUGGUUAGACAAUAAUUACCAUAAACAAACGAAAGUGAUACAGUGUCGCGAAAUUUUUUUCUCGGAGAACUAAACGCGGCCAUCCCAAAAUGAAUGUGUUUUUCUAGCCUUAGGAUAAGUCAAAGUUAUUUAGUUAAGUUUGAAUAAGUUCAUAUAUGUCUCUAGGUAGAUUUACUUUAAAAAUAUAUUUUAUAACUAAUUAAUUUAAUGAUAUUUAUUUUAGUGUUUUCUUGCAAUGGUUUAGUUAAACUUGAAUUUGUUUGACUUCUCGAGAAAUGAUAAUUAUAUUCUUUUUUGGACAACGGAGUGUAUUAGUAUUUUUUUUAUAUGAUUGAUCAAACUUAAAAGUGUUUAUAUAUAUAUGAAUGAAGGGACCUAAAUUUAUGAUGUGUACCUGGUCCAUCAUCAUUAUGAUUAGUAGCAUUUGGCUUGGCAGCGACUAUAUACUUGCAUUGCUUGUGAUUUGUGAAAGAGGAAAACUGAAUGAUUGUGAUAUCUCAUGCUUCCUGCGUUCUUAUGGCAGCUAGAGUUCUUCUGGGUGAGGAACUACAAGAGCACACUGCUCACUGCUGAUUGUAAGUCACUACGAAUUUCCUGGAUUAUUCUAAUGAAUUGCCAUAUUAUAAUUGCACCACCAUACAUUCCUGGACCCAAAGCAUUAUAUUUAUCCUAAUAAUGUCCUUUAUUAUCAUAUAUUUCCUCCAUCCCAAAAACUUGACACUAUAGAAUUUUUAAGACACCAACAUACAUAUCGAGGUAAAAAUGAACCAUGUGCCAAUACUUAUUAGGGACGGUUCCUAUUAAAAGGUCGGUUGUCAUUUGGUUAACAGCUUAGUUAAUUGCCAUAAAUAAUAAGAUCCUGGCAACAAAAAAUCAGCAUGCAGCUCUGGCAAAUGUGGAGAAUCAAUUCUAUUUAUCUCACAAGGAGCAGAUCUAGGGGUGGGGCGAGAGAUUCAAGCCCCACCGCCUCCGCAAGCCCCUCCUAAUUUUUCUAAACAUGAAAGAGAUAAGGAAGUUAUUGAUCUAAAAAAGAGUUUAAAGAUGAUUUGAACACCCUUUUUUUUAGAUUUCUAGAUCCUCACUGCCUUUCCAAAUGCUAAAGCUACGCGUUUUCUGGGAAAGUCGACGACAUCAGCAACGAGUUUGGCAAGAAUGCAAAAUGAGAUGAAAUCCUAUUGCCAAGACAAUGUGUGCAACACAUAGCAAGAGAAUCUUUAGGGAUUUGGAGGCAUUGGAAUUGAAACACCAUUCUUCUAGCUCCAGCACGCGCUAACAUAUUGCCAAGUCGUCUCCAAAGGUGUAAAGCAUCUCGAUACAAAAAAUAAUAAGCAUGGUACAGCACGCACGCGUAUGGGGAAGCUAGAAUUUUCAGGCAAGGGUAGCUAGCUAUGAAACAGCAAGCAGGUCAGAGCUAAUAGCUGGUUAUUCAAUAUAGCAAAACAAGGUUACACCAAAAUCAAUGCAUCGAUCGGUGUCAAGGUCUGAACAAUAUAAUAACUUAUACAUGUAUGUAUCCUACUCUCUUCUAGGUUCUGACAUGAUAGUGUAGACUGUAGUAUAUAGUAUAUACCAAUACUACAAGAUUAUAAAAAGGAAUCAAGCUUCACUUAUACUAUACUGCAUUCAUGUUCCCAAGAAGUGGACAAGAUCUGCAAGCAUCUCUAGCUAUUACAUACUGGAGGAGUAACGUGUCAACAGUUUGAUAUUAGUGUUUUAUAUUGUUUCAUAAUAAAUAUACAAAUCAUGCAUGACAAGCUCUCCUGUAGAUUAAGCUUUACAUGUUCACAGAGCAAAGAGCACAGUAUCAUUAGCAGCUAGCAUGCAGUAGGUUGUAACAGUGCCAAUGCAUGCCAACCAUAGUAUCAACAAACUGUGAUCAUUUUCUCAAGAAAGCAGAGCAAAGAAAGCAUAUAUAAGCAAUUUCCUCUACACAUCCCUCUUCAGAUCGACCUAUUAAUUUCGUUAGUUCUCCCAAAUUAAAUGCAGCAAGAAACAGUUUUUGCUAAUGAAAGGAAGAAGAAUAAAAAUGUGCCUGCCACCAUUCCCAUAAACUGAAACCUAUAUAGGAGUAGGACCAAUUAUUGCAACAUCUGGAGAGCAAAGAACAAUACAAAACCUACUUGAACAGUGCACAGUGUAUUGGAUUCCUUCUGCUGCUAGAUCUACAUUGGAAACAAUUAUACAUGGCAUUCAUUUCUUUCAUGCAUACGGUGGGUUUAAUUUGAUGGCUAUUUGAGACUGAAAAUUUCAUUGGUCUACACUCUACAGAGAGCACAUAAUUAAUAGAGAAUCUGGUUGCUAAAUUUGGAAUAAUAAAAUAUAAUGAAAUCUGUUGUGAUGCAUGCUCUAAUUCAUGUAAGCUUAAAUCCAUAUAGAGUAGAUAUCAAACAAGAGAAAACAUAGUGAUGUGUAUACAGAGAAGAAGGCAGGUUUAAUUAAAGAAUGCACAGAAUGCAAGUAAACAAAAGCUUCAAGAGAGGGAAACAAAAAGAAAAAAAAAUUGAACAGCAGUUGGGUAUAUCAAGUAGUAUUUUCAGAACAUUGUAUUGCAGGAAGCAAAAAGAUUGAGGCAGAGGUAAGAAGAACUGAAGCAAAUUAAGGAUUGAAAUUUUAUAGACCUGGAUAAAAAGAUACGUGUACACCUCCAAACUAAGCACGGAUUAUUCAGAAGGAUUUGCAUGGAUGGGAUGAGAGGGGAGCAGAUCGAGAUGCAUGGCCAAAUUUUAAUGAUGGCAACUUUCUACACAUGCACCCUCUUGUUUCAUCAGUCAGCUCAUCACAGGGUAAUUAUUGCGAGGGAAAGAGAGAAGAAGAAUCAGAAAGAUCCCCACUACGACCAUACAUGAGCCAUGGGUAUGUGUGCAGCUGCAGAUGCCCACUGGUCAGUAGGAGUGGCCGUCAUGCGCAGUCAUGCCCACCCAUCAUUACACCAAUCUGCAUCUCAUGCAGGAUGCAGGUAGCUAGAGGUAAUAUCCUCUCUUCAGUCUUGAGUUCUUCACCAUGGCAGCCACAAGAUCUAUCUAUGUAAAGUAUCUAUCUCCCCAUAUCAUAUACGCCCAAGAAACUGAACAACUGCAGACGGAGGAAAGAAGAAAAAAACAAAACAAAACAAAAGUAAACGGGGUAUGUAUAGAUUCAGUAAAUCAGGUAGCUUAGCUUACCCGGUUCAGAUUUGCAUGUACGUGCCCCCAGCAAGAUAGGUAGCUAGCGGAUGGAGGGAAGCUCAUGCUCAUCUGAUGGAGGUGCGCGCGCAGAUCAAGAUCAUGGGGGAGCCCUUCCUUUUGGGGGGAAUGAAGCCUGGUCCGAGAUCUACACCACCCGCCUCCGUCCUCCUGCUGGUCUCCAAGAGAAGGAGGAAGAGACGAUGGAGAUUGAGGAAGCGCGCGAAGACUAGGGGAGAGAGAGAGACCAGAGAAGGAAGGAGCGGAGCGGAGCGGCGGCGCCCCCGAGCCAGACAACAUUCCCCUCAAAGACGAAAAGGCUCCCCUGAUCUAGCUAUGCUCUCUCUAGCUAGCUUUUCCGCCUUGACCUCUCGCUGGCUUAGCUAGAUCUCUCAAACUCUCUGAUCCUACCACCUCCUGUCCCUCGCUCUCUUCUUGUAUAUCUUCGUGCCUCAGCCUCACCCUCAUGGCUAGCUAGCUCCCGUGCUACCUCUCAGCUUUUUUGGGGUAUGAGAUGAGGUGCAGGGAGGAGGGGAGGGGAAGGUAGAGAAAGGGUCGGUAUGUAUAUAUGGAGGAGGAGGAGGAGGAGGAGGAGGUAGCUGCAGCAAGCAAGAAAGCAAGGUAGGAAUGGGAUGGGGGCCGGCGAGAGUUGAAUGGGCACAGGAGGAGGAGGAGGAGGACGAUUGGACGAAGGGGAAUUGAAGGGUGUCCCCCAGCCGGCCGGCCCCCCACGAGGCACGGCUGGUUCCAAGGGGGAGCUGUCCCGGUCCCGGCUGUACAUGUGUGUGCUAGCUGGUGCAAUGGGGGCGGAGAGGAAGAGAUGAGGAAGACGAAGAGGAGGAGGAGGUGUUACCUCUUGAUCGGUCUCAAUGUAUAGUUUUAUGGUACAGUUAUCAAAACUAUAAACUAUAGGUAACCGAGCCACAUGAGUUUUAUUGGGAUGAAAUUUCUCUCUCAUAUGAUGAAACUCUUUUAUUUAAUGACCCUGUCAAGUCAGUAAUUUUACUUAUGUGGCAUCAUAUUUAAUGUGUAUAACACUUUCAUGAAACAUGCAUUAAGACUAGCAUUGAGAGGGAUGAAUCCGAGUUAUGGUGGACCUCUGCUAGCACUGCCCACAAGAAUUGCUACCUUCACCUACCCACCCUUUUCCUUCCCUGCUUUUUCUUCUUCAGCUGCAGUGUGUGUGACAACCUAGAUGUGCCAAACUUUCUGUACCUGCUUAGCACUGCACCACCACUAUGCCCGUUUUGAUUGCUUUAUAUACUUGCUUGCGGUAUAGGAUAGGAAAGGUUCUACUUUGACCACCAAGGAUGUUUAUCCAUUGCUAAAAAAUAAUGUUUUUCACUAGAGGAAUAUUGAAAUAUAUAUGCAUUUAUUAUAAAACUUUUUUUAUAUAUUAUGUACUAUAUAAACAAACAUAUGAUCUGACUAAUUAUUGAUACAUUGGUCAGAAUACAUGAAGCAUGACCUUUUGAAAUCCUAGGCCUUGUUUAGUUCCCAAAAAUUUUGCAAAAUUUUUCAGAUUUUCCGUCACAUCGAAUCUUUAGACGUAUGUAUGAAAUAUUAAAUAUAGAUAAAAAUAAAAACUAAUUGCACAGUUUAGUCGGAAUUGACGAGACGAAUCUUUUGAGCCUAGUUAGUCCAUGAUUGAACAAUAUUUGUCAAAUACAAACAAAAUUGCUACAGUGCUCAUUUUGCUAAAAAUUUUGGAACUAAACAAGGCCCUAAUACACUUACUAAAAAUAAUCAUGUGUACAUUGUGUCUCAUUAUUAGUUGUUUACGACCUCCAUGUGUGUGUACGUGUACACACAAAGCAAGUAUUCAUGUAAAAAAUCUUCAACUUAAGUAUUAUAUUACAUUAGAUUGAAAAAUGAUAUGAUGUAUACUAUGUAGAUUUACCAUGAUGUCUUUUAGAGGAUUUAUAUGUACCUAUUUUGAUUUAUGGUGUUUUUUUAGACAUGCCCAAGUUAAUCUGUCUAAACCGAGAGUUGUCCCUUCAAUUAAGCCGAGUAACGUUAGUUAUCCCCGGAGCUGCACCUUGCACUCUAUUGACCCAAAAUACACAUGACCAGACUGUAUUAAAUACUCCAUUUAUUCAAAAAAAUAUACAAUUCUCACUUUCCAAGAAGUCAAGACCAAUUUUGAGUUACCAGAUCUAUAAAAAACUACUGCUCCUUCUAUCUCAAAUCAAAUCAACUUCUAUAGUUGUCCUAAUAAGUUCAUCUAUUUUUAAGUUUAACCAACAUUAUAGAAAAAAACACCAAAAUUUAUGACAUCAAAUUAGUAUCACUUGGAUACACCACGAGAUAUAAAGUUGAUCAAACUUAAGAUAGUUUGACUUAUAGCAUGAUUGUAGGAAUUGAUUUAUUUUGAGAUGGAGGUACUAACAAUUAUGAAACCAAUAAGAAUCGUUAGAUUAAUUAUAGAACCAUAUGGCAUUUUCUAAAACUUAUUCAUUCCGAACCAUAUGGCAUGCCCUAAAGCCAAGUCACUGUUGUCACAAAAAAAAGCCAAGUCACUGUCUACUCAAUCAAAUUAAAUUGAAUAAACAUAAUCUAGUGCUCGUGUGUGUAUAUAAAGGGGUUUUAGGUACGCCUAUACUUUGUUGUUAGGCCUUGUUUACUUCCAUCCGAAAACCCUAAAUUUUUCAAGAUUUCCUGUCACAUCGAAUUUUUAGACGCAUACAUAGAGUAUGAAAUAUAAAUAAAAAUAAAAACUAAUUAAACAGUUUGGUCGAAAUUUAAGAAACGAAUCUUUUAAGUUUAUUUAGUCUAUAAUUGAACAAUAAUUACCACAAACAAACAAAAGUGCUACAGUGUCGCGAAAUUUUUUCCUUCAUGAACUAAACAAGGCCUUAGAGUUUAUUUCAAAGGACAAAGGAAUUGAUCAGUCCAACUAUUGAGUUAAUCCUUUUCUUUUUCUAAAACCCCUGUUCGAAUUGAAACUAAAACUUUAGAACCAUAAAGCAUGUCCUGACGCCCAAGUCAUUGUCUAGGCGAUCAAAUAGGCUUAGGCUGCCCAACAGGGCCCCUAGUGAAGUCAAGAUUCAAAAAGACAUUCUUUUUAACAAAGUAACCACACUGAUACUGUGCACCUUUUCUCUAAUAAUUAAUGAGCCUAGAAAAAAAAGGGACCUCUAGGCCUUUUUUUAGUUCUAUUUUUUUUUUUCAAAAUGGACACCGUAGCAAUUCUAUUUGUAUUUGACAAAUAUUAUCUAAUCAUAGACUAACUAGACUCAAAAGAUUUGUCUCGUAAAUUACAGACAAACUGUGCAAUUAGUUAUUUUUUUAUCUAUAUUUAAUGUUGUAUACAUAUACUGUAAAAUUUGAUGUGACGAAAUUUUUUUAGAAAAAUUACAAAUUUUUUUGGGACUGAACAAGUCCCUAGUGGUACUACUCCAUUUUUUUCAACACCCAUGCAUGGUAGCUGCGCGGGCCCCACGUGUCAUGCUCGCAGUCGGAGAGCGAGGCAGGGGUGGGGAGCAUGCGCCCACGACAGGCGGAACGCCCUCGGCCGUCCCGUCCUGUCGAGACACGAGCUUAAAUGCAGAGUUUAUGAUGGACGGCAUGAUUGCGAUGGAUCGGAGAAGAAGUGAGCCGGGGCCCCGGCGGCGUGCAGUGCUGGCCCUCCUGCCACCUGGACUGGACUCCAGCCUGGUUGGCAAGAAGACGAUCGAGAGCUAUAUAUAUAUAUAUAUAUAUAUAUAUAUAUAUAUAUAUAUAUAUAUAUAUAUAGCUACGACGACGAGAAAUAAAAAUUAAGACAUGACGGAUGAGAGAGCAGGAUGGAGGGACGACGAGGCCCCCAUGGCCAUGCAUGGCCACCAGGACCGGCCGCUCCCACUCCUCGGGCUAGCUCUCCGUGCAUGCGCCGAUCGGGAGCCGGAGAAGAAGAAGAAGAAGAAGAAGAAGAAGAAGAAGAAGAAGAAGAAGAAGAAGAAGAAGAAGAAGAAGAAGAAGAAGAAGAAGAAGAAGAAGAAGAAGAAGAAGAAGAAGAAGACACGCAGCAAUGCGCGGAGCACUGCCAUCAGCGGCGAACGCAAUGAAUAGCAGCAUACGCGCGCGUCCCAUCCCAUGGAAAGUUGGAAACCUCUUCGCUGAUCUGUCGCGCCGCGGACGCCGGCGGACUGGCAGUGGCAUGCAGUGCUGGCAAGCAGCAGGCUCCGUCCGUGUCCAUGCAAUGCACGCACCCACGCAUCAGACGACGACCAUUUAUUCAUGCAUGCAUGUGUGUGCGUGGCCCAGCUGCAUGCUGAUCGAUGUGUGGGCGUGCUACGGCCUUGUUUAGUUCACAAAAAUUUUCAAAAUUCUCCGUCACAUCGAAUCUUACGAUACAUGCAUGGAGCAUUAAAUAUACAUGAAAACAAAAACUAUUUAUACAGUUCAUCUGUAAACCGCGAGAUGAAUCUUUUGAGCCUAGUUACUCUAUAAUUGAACAAUGUUUGUCAAAUAAAAACGAAAGUGCUACAGUGCCGUUUUUCACAAGUUUUUGCGAACUGAACAAGGCCUACGUGUGACAGUGUGACCCUGCAGCACACACAUCAUUAUUAUUAUUAUUAUUGUUGUUAUUAUUAUUAUUAUUAUUAUUAUUAUUAUUAUUAUUAUUAUUAUUAUUAUUAUUAUUAUUAUUAUUAUUAUUAUUAUUAUUAUUAUUAUUAUUAUUAUUAUUAUUAUUAUUAUUAUUAUUAUUAUUAUUAUUAUUAUUAUUAUUAUUAUUAUUAUUAUUAUUAUUAUUAUUAUUAUUAUUAUUAUUAUUAUUAUUAUUAUUAUUAUUAUUAUUAUUAUUAUUAUUAUUAUUAUUAUUAUUAUUAUUAUUAUUAUUAUUAUUAUUAUUAUUAUUAUUAUUAUUAUUAUUAUUAUUAUUAUUAUUAUUAUUAUUAUUAUUAUUAUUAUUAUUAUUAUUAUUAUUAUUAUUAUUAUUAUUAUUAUUAUUAUUAUUAUUAUUAUUAUUAUUAUUAUUAUUAUUAUUAUUAUUAUUAUUAUUAUUAUUAUUAUUAUUAUUAUUAUUAUUAUUAUUAUUAUUAUUAUUAUUAUUAUUAUUAUUAUUAUUAUUAUUAUUAUUAUUAUUAUUAUUAUUAUUAUUAUUAUUAUUAUUAUUAUUAUUAUUAUUAUUAUUAUUAUUAUUAUUAUUAUUAUUAUUAUUAUUAUUAUUAUUAUUAUUAUUAUUAUUAUAGCCCUAGCUGGACCUGGACCCUUGGUGGUGACUGUCUGACUGAGUUGACCAAUUCACACCUCCUCCUGUGUGCAGAGAACAGCCAGAGUCUGCAGCAUUUUCUGUGGAAAAAAAAAUGAAAUGAUGUAAUAAUGCAAAAGUUCCUAAAAGCAGCAUUCAGCAAGGGAGGCAGCACAUUUGUUCAGAUUAAUAACAUGAGCACUGCGUGAUUAAUUGAUCAUGCAUGAACUUACAAUAAAUUAAAUAAAGCUUGUACAGCAACGGCGGCAAAUUUGAUGCUAUGUAUUCAUAGUUAUAUAUACUCCUACGCCAUACUGAAACUGACAUGAUUAGGAUACAAUACAUACAUAUAUUCCUUCAGGAUGAGAGGUGAUGUGAUAUAACGCUAUAGAAGAAUACUCCAUCCAUCUUACACCAGAUACAAUUUUACUCCCUCUGUCCAUUUUUAAUUGUCGCAGUUGGUGUGCAUGCCACAAGUUUGACUAGAUUUAUACAAAAUACGUGCAACAUUUGUAUCUCCAAAUAAAUUUGUUAAAAAACUAGAUUCAAAGAUCUUUCUAAUGAUACUAAUUAUGUAUUAUAAAUAUUAAUAUUUUUUAAUAUAUAAUUGCCGGUAGUUGUUUUUCGGGAAGCACAAGCGAGGGAUGGAGGGAGUAAACUGGUGCUAAGUCAGACGAUUCAAAGUUUAAUAAGAAGAUUUAGAGAGAGAGACUAAUAAUUUUAUUUAUAGUUUUUUAUAAUUUUUAUAUAAACUUAGUAAAAUUUGAAAUAUAUUAUGACUUUGGUUAGAUUUAAAAUUAUAUUGGUUUUGGGACGGAGGUCGUACUCACGGUCACGGGCACAUGUCUGGUUGCAGAAGAGGCUAGAAGUUGGCAGAGAUGCCCAUACCGGAGGACUAGUUAUUACUAAUUGACAGUUACGUCGCUCUCGAGCCUGACAAAGCAAAGUUUACAUACUCCUAUAGCCUAAUAGCUAAUGCAUGCAUAUGGGCCUUGUUCACGUCGAAAACUAAAAACUUUUCAAGAUUUCCCGUCACAUCAAAUCUUAGAGUACACGCAUGAAGCAUUAGAUAUAAACGAAAAUAAAAACUAAUUACACAGUUUGUCUGUAAAUCACGAGAUAAAUUUUUUAAGCCUAAUUAGUCCAUAAUUGGAUAAUGUUUGUCAAAUAAAAACGAAAAUGUUACAGUGUCGAAAUCCGAAAUUUUUUCGGAACUAAACAAGGCCAUGGUUUCGGUUUCUUUCGGUGCUUGCAUUGUGCUAGUGUCUCGCACAUGUUGUGAAACGCCCUUUUGAGAAUGUCGUAGGGUCGUGCUGUCUCAUCGCCUUCCCAUUUGUAUUUGUAUAUAUCUUCUCUUGGCCAGGUUCAGUUCGAUCAGUCCGGUUUCUUUUUGGUGUGUGUCUGUAUAUAUCAGUGUAUCCAAUGAUCUUUUCUCUAUCAAUCAAUAAGUUAGGCUGCAUUUUUGUUGCCUUGUCCAAGUACCCAUGCGGAUGGGAAUCUAUCACGUCGACACGCAAAUAAAAAAAUAUUCCAAGAAGGCACAUGUCGAGAUAGAAAGAAUGCAAUGCAAUACUCCUCCGUCUUGUACUAAUACAGUACAUUCUAACACUCAAAAAUUGUCUUCGAGUAUAAUACAUUCUAGGCGGCAAAAACCGGUUUUGCAUUAAAUACUUUCUAUUUAUCGAGUAAUCAUCAUUAAUCACAUUUGAUGAUAGCAUAUAAUUAGAAAAUAAAAUGAGAGAAUAUGUGUCUUUUAUGUUAUCUCUUUAUUUGUUUUAAUUUCAAAAGCACACUAUAUUAUAGGACUAGGGGAGUAAACCCCUAGGCACAUGUCACUUUGUUUUUAAGUUUCCUUAACUUUUUUUUACUGUAAAAGCCAACAUGCUAUUUUCAUAUAUGGGCUGAUGUACUUGACAAGCAUGGAUUUGCAAAUAAGAAUGCAUAAUUAAGAGACAAUGGUGAAGGGCCUGCUUGAGUAGGCUAAAAUAGAUAGAUUAAUUGAGGUGUUGACUAAAGUUAACCAUUGCCCAUCCAAACUGGCGAGGGCUAUUUUUUGCACACAUUCUAGCCAUCAUUAACACUUUAGCUGGACUGAUGGGGAUAACUUGUGCUACCUUUAGCUAAAAUGUGUGUGCAAAAAAGACCCCCUAGUUUUGGCAUGGUUUGUUUUCCCCUUACAUACUUAGAGCAUCUCCAAGGGUUUUGCAUUUGAGGUUUGCAUUUGAAUAAUUUGCCAAAAAGCUCCAAAUGCAUUUGGAGUUUGCAAUUUGGGCAACUUGGCAAAUGAGGGAGCAAACUUGGCAAAAAUGUCAAGCUGUGGACGACUUUGCAAACCCGAUUGUGCGAGCAAAGUCACGCGCGAGGAAAGCGCGCGCGCCUAGAGACCUUCUAUUUUUAUCCUUUGCCAAGUCCAAAUGCCAAUUCCUUUGGAGAUGGUCUAUUUUUAUCUUUUGCAUUUUGUUAUGGGAGUUUGCAAAUAGCAACAAAUGCCAAGUCAAUUUGCCAAAGCCUUUGUCAUUUCGGGCAUUAUGGUGUGUUUAAAAGGCAUGCAUGGAUAUAUAUGGUUUAAAAGGUAUGCAUGUAUGGAUGGGUUGAGCAAUUUACAAUACCUUAUAAUUUGAGACAAAAAUUUUAAAUGUUUGAUUUCUUGCAUUUCAGGACAGAUGGAGCAGAUGAGCAAGUUUUCACCGUAAGAAAUCCAACUAGUUGACCUACACGGCUAUACUGAGCUCAUAAUGUGUUUAAUGGUCAACCGCCACAAUUUGCUCUAGCCCUUUUAUUUUGAUAGAUUUGAAUAGCAAUGUUGGAGGUGCAUGAGCCACGGGGCCUCUGCAACCUUUUAUUUUCUAUAGAGCAAUUUUAUGUACUUCAUUUGGGUUGUAAAACCAGGUUUGUUCACCUCGCUACAGAAUGAGUUACCUCUACAACUAUUAAAAAUAGAGAAAAAUACUAACUGUUAACCUUUUCCUUUUGUAAGAGCGAUAUUGCAAAUUCUAUGAGGGGACACACCCGAUAUUUUCUUCCAUAGUUUGAUUCCAUCCUGUUGCCUUUUUGCGGUAUGCUCAUACGUAGUUGUCUUUUUGCACCCUAGCUUGAUCUACAUCUUUUAUCUUUAGACUCACACCUCUAGCGCGUUCCAUGUAGCGCAUAUAUGACUAUAUACAAUUACUAAUGUGUAAUCAAGCUUAUUAAGUACAACAAUUAUAUGUAAUUGAUAGCCGAAACCAAAUGCCAAUGCAUUCUCGCCUUUCUAAACUACUUAUUACUACUUAGAAAAUUAAACAAGUUAACAACUGAACUAACUAAAUAAUUCAUGAGAGAGAUGGGUUAGUUUUACUCUAAAAGUUAAGCAAAGUUAACAACCCAUUCUUGUGGUAUGACACAUGCAUGGGAGAUGGGGCAUCUCCAAGUCAUCGUCACCAUGUAGCUUGACCUAUAAUAUUACUCCUAUAUUAAUUAAUUCUUGUUUUAUACUCUUGUAUAUGUAUGUGCAAUAUAAUACGUGACCUUAUGUAUCGAAUGCCGCCAAGAUAUGGUCGUCAAGUGAUGAUGAGAGUAGUUUCGCUGCUCCUGUUCACAAAGUGGCUUUGGUCUUGCUCCAUUGUUUCUAUGCCCGGGACAAUUAAAUUUUUAACUUCUCCUGGUAAUAUUACUCCUAUAUUAAUUAAUUCUUGUUUUAUACUCUUGUAUAUGUAUGUGCAAUAUAAUACGUGACCUUAUGUAUCGAAUGCCGCCAAGAUAUGGUCGUCAAGUGAUGAUGAGAGUAGUUUCGCUGCUCCUGUUCACAAAGUGGCUUUGGUCUUGCUCCAUUGUUUCUAUGCCCGGGACAAUUAAAUUUUUAACUUCUCCUGGUAAUAUAGGUUUUUUUAGUGUUUUCGUAUUCAAAAUUUAGUACAAAUUUUCUCUAGUAAAUAUCUCUAAGUAAAGAUUCUCUAGUGUUAUGACUAGUGAUAGUAUUUUAUUACUAAUUUAAAAUACUAGGAGAAUUUUAUCAAUUUAGUAGUAUAGUGCUAUGAUCAAGUGCUGCCGUGGAGACGUGCGUGGGCUGCUAGAUGGAGAUUGAUCCAUAUCGACGAACGACACGGAAACAGCAAUGCUGAAAAAACGGCGCAGCCCCGUCCUCACAGCAUAGCAAGUACUACACUACCAUAUAUCCAGAUUCAUGUACUGAUGUACUCUCUCCAUACCAAAAUAGAGGUUGCUAUAGGAUGCAUGUGGAUCAAUUUUUUUUCAACUUUGAUUAGAUUUAUAGAAAAUAUGUGCAACAUUUAUCUUUCUAAAUAAAUUUAUUGUGAAAGUAUAUUCAAUGAUCUAUAUAUGAUGAUAUUAAUUAUAUAUUAUAAAUAUUAAUAAUCUUUUAUAUAUAUUUGGUCAGAGUUAAAAGUCUUUGACUUCUUGGAAAACAAAAACAAUAUUCUAUAUUUUAGGACGAGUAUAGUACACGUGUGUGUGCUAUAUGUCAAAGGUAGCUGGUAACAUAAGACUUUUGUUUGACUUGGCCUGCCUACACUUUUUGUCUCACAAAGCUAAGUCCAAAUUUGGUUUCCUUGGGGGAUGGAUCGAUCAUCAACUCAUCACAUUUCAUCAUUAGCAUCGUAUGUGCCGACUGCCGACACACGACAAUCAUGGAAACGUCGACGUCUCUCAAAUUAAAUAAGAAUUAUAUUGAUUAGUGUACUCCCACUGUCUCAAGAAAGUUACUUCUAGGACUUAUUCGGUAGAUUCGGUACGGCUUCCAAGCUGAAUCAAAGUGUUCAAAGUGAUAUAUCUAAAACGAACUAAUAAGCUAAAAGCUAGAAAAAGAAGCUUCUCCUGAUUUACUCUAGGCAUGCAUAGAUGAGUUUAUCAUAGAGAAGCAUGCAUGGAAAAACAAUGGCAGCACGAGAAUCAACUUCCACAGAGAACCUGGAGCUCUACCAAACAUACCUUAACUACAGUGCUAAAUCAAACAUAUUAUGAUAUCAAAUAAAUGUCAUUGGAUCCAUCCUAUAAUAUAUUUUUAUAGUACAUAUGUUUGAAACUGUAAUUAUUGGCAUUUUUUUCUAUAAACUUUAUUAAGGCCUUGUUUAGUUGGCAAAAUUUUUGGAUUUUGGGUACUGUUGCACUUUCGCUUGUUUGUGUCAAAUAUUAUCGAAUCAUAGACUAAUUAAGAUCAAAAGAUUCAUCUCGUGAUUUACAGACAAACAAUGUAAUUAGUUUUUGUUUUCGUCUAAAUUUAAUACUCCGUGCAUGUGCCGCAAGAUUCGAUGUGACAGAGAAUCUUGAAAUUUUUUAGGAACUAAACAAGGCCUAAAUCUAAAUGUCUUUGAUUAAAUUUAAAUGUACAUUCCUCUUGGGACAUAGAACCAAGUACCUCGCUGUGUGAAAGGAGUACUCCGUACGUCGGUAAGAGUUGGUGUGAACUGUCUGUGUGCAAGAUUCAUCCUCGCUCACUGAUGACUCCCUGAGAAAAGCCACGGCCGGCAUAUCAUGUCGUCUGGUAUGUAUGGUAGCUCGUCGACGAUGCUGCCCAUCACAUCUUGGAAUACGCUUUUGGUUUUGGGCGUGUCCGGUAAGAGCUUGAGAGUAAGCUGUACCUUUCUUCUGGACACAUUGAACUGCCAUAUACUACUAUAGUAUACUCGAUCGAGAUGAUGGAGCUCGAAAAGUUUGAAAAGCAACGCUCGCUGCCUGAGUCUGACGAUUUCCACUAGCUUUACACUUACCACACUGCUCCGUCAAAGAAACACGUUGUUUAGAUAAAAGUUUUGUCAAAACUUCAAAAACUACAAACACCAAUAGCUUUGGGAUUUUCACUACUACAUAUCACCGCCGGCUCCAAAGUGUCCGUCACUGCGGUUUCGUCCUUUCUGGUGAAAGUGGCGGUGUUAAUCUUGAUUAUCACCACCGGACUGCAGGUUAUACGAACUGGUGAUGAUAAUAAGAAAAAUCAACCAAGCCAGUCGAGCCCACGAAACCCACCGAGUCAAAGGUGUGAAGCACUGAAGACUACAUUAAAUUGAGAUGAGAAAACAUAUUUAGAGUUAUUGGUACCUAAGUCUAUAUAUAGGGGGUGUUUGCCACUACUCUACAAACUCCACCGUGGAAUAGCUCCACAGAAAGAAAAACUGAAGUUUCUGGAGUAUCUCUUUAGGUGCUCUCACAACUUCACGUUUUUUCCUCGAACUCAGUGCGUGGAGUUGAAACCGUUUGGCUAAAAAAUAGGGAGUGGAGCAGUUCCAAACACCCCCGUAACAACUAGAUAACAUUAUUAAGAGCAGUCUCAAAUACCCCUAUAACAACUAGAUAACAUUGUUCAUGUUAUCUAGUAAGAGAGAGCAAAGAUGAGUGACUGUAAUUAGAUUUUUUUUGAGGGAAGAGUGAUUAUAAUUAUUAGAUGCCCUAAACCUGUUCCAUAAAUUAUUAGACCGUGCAGCAUGUUGAUGGGCUUUAGUUUAUCCAAUUCCAAGCGAGUAUGAUUGCAGGGCGAGCUGCCACUCAAAACUGUCGCGAACUAUCCACUAAAAAAAAAACUGUCGCGAACUAGCGCACACUGCCACACCCACACGGGCACACUGGGAUGCGCGCGGUGCAAUUUGCCUCACGGGCCUGGACUGGACCGCGCAGUGGCUCGGCUGAAACCGUGAACGGGCUUGGGCCGCAUUCUGCUGCCCGUCGGUGUCUUGUUGGGCGGUGCCCGGGACUCUUUUCCUCUCUCUCUCUGUAAAAAAAAAAUCAAACAUCUUCUCAAGCCAACAACGAUCAAACAUAUUAUCAUCUCUACUAGUAGUACAAGGUUAAUCUCAUGUUUGGAAUUCGUUGUACUCCCAGAAAAUGUUUGAAUCCAAUUACGAUGGUAUUGCACUAAACAUAUAUAUGUAAAUCUCUCAAAGAGUCAGCCCGUUAGAAGCCUAUAAUAUAAUAGUUAUAUUGUUAGCCUAAGUGGCUUUAUAGAGUUAUACUUGAGUUUAGGGCACUCAUAAUGUAAGACUCUAUCAUAGAGUCUAAGAUAAUUAAUUACAUAUUAUUUAUAGUAUUUUGCUAAUGUGGUAGCAUAUUUAUUAAAGAAAGAGGUAGAAAAAAUAAGACUUCAAGUCUUAUUUAGACUCUAAAUACACAUUAUUCGAGGUAAUAAAUAACUUUAGACUCUAUGAUAGAGUCUGCAUUGUGAGUGCCUGUAAGACUCUAUCAUAGAGUCAAAGACAAUUAAUUAUAUAUUAUUUAUGGUAUUUUGCUGAUGUGGCAGCAUAUUUAUUAAAGAAAGAGGUAGAAAAAAUAAGACUCCAACUCUUAUUUAGACUCUAAAUCCACGUUGUUUGAGGUAAUAAAUAACUUUAGACUCUAAGAUUGUCGACGAAAGCUAGUCGGCAGUCUACCUUGGGGUAUACCUACGGUAGUAGUUUAUCGGUAGACGGUGCGCAAGCUACGAACUUGAUGGUGACGCAAGACACGGACAAGGUUUUUAUCCAGGUUCGGCUGCCGGGUGGGCGUAAUACCUACGUCCUGCAUCUGAUUGUAUUGGAUUGUGUCGAGUUGAGAGAUAUCCUAGGGGGUACCCUGCCUCUCCUUAUAUAGUCCAGAGGGCAGGGUUACAGAUCUGGAAACUAAUCCUAAUCGGUUACAAUUGCUAUAGAUAGUACAAUAUCAAUUCCUAUUCUAACCGACUAGAAUCCGGCUUGAUCUCCACGUCUUGUUUCCUUGCGCGAAACUCCGAGCAGUUGGAUCAAGCCUUGGACUGUCUUCGUGAUGAGCCAAGCCUCCAGGCCCAAGUCUAGCCGUAAGGUAUAGGGGUUUAUACCCCCACAAAGAUAGAGUCUGUAUUGUGAGUGCCCUUAGUACCUCCUGUAUUAUUUAGUACACUCCAAAAGCCCAAAACUUUUUAAGAUUCUCCGUCACAUCGAAUCUGCGGUACAUGCAUUGAACAUUAAAUAUAGAUAAAAACAAAAACUAAUUGCACAGUUUAUCUGUAAAUCGCGAGACAAAUCUUUUAAGGCUAGUUACUCCAUGAUUGGACAAUAUUUAUCAAAUAAAAAUGAAAGUGCUAUAGUGCCAAAAUCCAAAAAUUUUUUGGAUCUAAAUAAGGCCUUAAUAGUCUAAGACAGGAUGAGUACCAGUUUAUGAGCUGGUUUGUAGUGUCCCAUUUGUAUAUAGUAUACGAGACAAAAUUAUCUAUUUUCCCCCACCGAGACAAAACAGUAAUCAUCGUGCACAAACAGAAAAAAAAAAUAUUCAAUUCAGAGUCCAGUAGCUCACCGCUUAGCAAAAAUCACAGAAAGCAACAGGUGUUGAUAAGCAGAGAGUCCCAGCCCUAUAAUUAGCCGUUAAAAUCUAUAACUCUUAUAAAGCUAAACCCCCACUAGAUGAGUUCUCUCUUCAUGCAAAGUGUCCACAUCAUUCCCCACUAAGUGACCCACUAAAUAUUCUAUCUCUUCAUGCAAAUUGUCCACAUCAUUCCCCACUAAGUCCAUAUCAUCUCAUAUUAAUUAUAAAAAAUUACCAUGUCAUCUAUAUCAUGUGAAAUACUUAAAUCUUUAAUCUAUUAACAUACAAGUCAUGUACAUACACUAUUUGUUUUAUCACCAAUUAAUUCCUCUAUAAUGUAACCGAAUAUUAGUUUUUGUUCUAUUAGAUUAGCAAUUUUUUACUAGAUCUAAUACAAUAAAAUACAUGCAAGUCAAAAUCAUAUGUAUACAUACAUAACAGAUUGAAUGCUAUAUAGUAAUGCUAUGUAUAUAAUGAUUUAUUUUUAGGAAAAUCCCGCAGCAACGCGGAAUUUACCUAGUUAGGCCUUGUUCAGUUAAGGAAAAAUUUUGGUUUUGGCUACUGUAGCACUUUCGUUUGUUUGUGACAAAUAUUGUCCAAUUAUGGACUAACUAGACUCAAAAGAUUCAGCUCGCGAAUUACAGGUAAACUGUGUAAUCAGUAUUUGGUUUUGUCUACAUUUAAUACUCCAUGCAUGUGCUAUAAGAUUCGAUGUGACGGGGAAUCUUGAAAUUUUUUGGAACUAAACAAGGCCUUAAUCUAAUGCAGUAAUCCUCCUCCUCUUCCUCUCGCCAGAAGCAUCCAUCCAUCCACCUCCACCCCCAAAAAAUCUUGGAGAAAAGAAGAAAAAAAGAAAAGAAAAAGGCAAGCCGAGUUCCCAAUUUGCCCAAACCCCUCCUCCAAGCACAAGCAGUAAGCAGAAUCCAAUCCAAUCCCCUCCCCUCCCCCGCUCGCGCCGCCCCCUCCCUCCACUAAUCCAAUCCAUCCAGCCCCCUCCCCCGCGAAUCAAUCCAUCCAUCCUUCUUCCUCCGCAAGCCAGAGACAGAGGCGGCGAUUGUCCACCGUGCGUGUUCCCUCCGGCAUCCGCGGGACGGACGGGGGAGCAAAACCUCACCAGCGGCGAGGGUGGGCGAUGAGGUCGUCGGAGCCGUCGUCGCGGUUCGUGCAGGAGCUCGUGCUGUACGCCGCCAGCGCCGCGCUAAGCUGCCUCGUCCUCUUCGCGGGCCUCCGCCACCUCGACCCCAACCGCGCCGCCUCCCAGAAGGCGCAGCAGCAGAAGAAGGAGAUCGCCAAGCGACUCGGCCGGCCCCUCGUCUCCACCACGCCCUACGAGGUCCGUCCCUCCCCUCCUCCUCCUCAUCCUCAUCCUCCCCGCUCCAAUCCACACCCGCCUCCCCCAUCUAGGGUUCGCCUCAAUCCUAAGUUGGUGUCUCCCUCACCGACAGGACGUGAUUGCGUGCGACGUCAUCAACCCCGACAGCAUCGACGUCGAGUUCGACUCCAUUGGCGGCCUCGACCAGGUGAAGCAGGCGCUCUACGAGCUCGUCAUCCUGCCCCUGCGCCGCCCGGAGCUCUUCGCCUUCGGCAAGCUCCUCAGCCCCCAGAAGGGCGUCCUCCUCUAUGGCCCGCCCGGCACGGGCAAGACCAUGCUCGCCAAGGCCAUCGCCAGGGAGUCCGGCGCCGUCUUCAUCAAUGUCAGGAUCUCCAAUCUCAUGAGCAAGUGGUUCGGGGACGCGCAGAAGCUCGGUGAGCAAUUAUAUUCUUGAUUGGUCCUAGUCCUCUUGCUGAUUUAAUGCUAGUCCACUGGACAUCCACUGGUUUUGGAUCCAUACCAGUUAUAGUAGUGCCAUGCGCAUGCGCCGAUGUUUAUAUGCGCUGCAUUUUUAGUCCCAUUGCUAAUCGAGCUGCCCACUAGAAACUUAAUUACUCUAGAAACGAUGGCACUUGCAUAGUCUUUUGUGUCGGGAUGCUAUAGGAAUCCACAGAUUUUGAAUCCAUACCAUUUAUAGUAGUUUCUUUGUCUUUUGUUUGUAUGUGAUGGACUGAUGUUUUUAUACGUUAUUAUAUUAUUGCUGUUGCCGCGGUGGCUGCAUUGUAUUGAUUUGCAUUGCUAAUUUAGCUGUCCACAUAUUUACUAAUUUAGAAUUGAUGCCAAUUGUAUUCUUUUUUUGUGUGUGUAUGCUAUACACUGAUGUUGGUAUGUUGUUGCUGUGGCAGUGGCUGCUGUAUUUAGUCUCGCUCACAAGCUCCAGCCUGCUAUUAUUUUCAUUGACGAGGUUGAUAGUUUCUUGGGGCAACGACGGACAACCGACCAUGAAGCCAUGACUAAUAUGAAGACAGAGUUCAUGUCCCUCUGGGAUGGCUUCACCACUGAUCGUGAGUCCUCUUAUACUUUGUUGACAAUGAUGUCAACUUGUGAAGCAUUUGCUUAUAGUAACAGUAUAGUUGCGCUUUAAUUUUUUCUGAGCGUGCAAGUGACAUAACCCUACUUCAAAUAAGCACCCUGUAUAGAACAACAUUAUUAGCGAAAAUAAAUCUUGAUUGUCAACACCAUCCAUGUUUUUUUGGUUUUUAUCAGUCCAUUUGAUAUCGAUUAAUUCUUCCCAUUGCAUAUUAUUGCUGAAUAAUGCUAUUAGUCUGCUCUGAAUUUUACAUGCAUUCAGCCUUAAAAAUUCUGAAAAGAUGGUACUACUAUCACACUAGCAUUGUGAUUAGAGUCACAAGCAUGUGCAAUGUACAGAUAUCUCGAUGUGUUCCCCCCCCCCCCCACCCCCCCAUUUUCCAUGUUCUAAAAUAAGAUGCACUUUUUGCUAUUUCUGUUAAAUAAGACGUUCCAGAAACUUAAGCUAACAGAUGUAGAUCUGUGCUUUGUGUGAAUAUAAUAAUCCCAUAGCAGGUACCUGUUUCAUUUACCUUCCAUGAUUUGAAGCCUAUAGAUACUGACGUGUGCUUUAAGCCUUGUGGGAAUAAUAAUCCUCACACUGGCCAUAUGUUCCGUUGUUCUUAACAAACCUGUUUACAACACUGCUCUUCUUAGUUUGUGUUUGUUCUAUUUUGUGCGAGUUUAUAAUGCUGCCUAUAUUCAUAUUUCAUAGAUGUGUAAUAUUUAUGUAAUAUCAUGACUUCUGUUGUAUAUCUGUAUGGAGAUACUUGCAGCCUUGACAUUUGUGGUUGCUGUGAUGAUUCCCCCCCCCCCCACCCUGGGGACUGGCUAGUGGUCUGAUUGCAAGUGUUCACUUUUUUUUUUUUUUUUUUUGCAAAAUUGUUACAGUUCCCCCCCCCCCCCCCCAAUAUGAUUUCUGUCCCCGUCCCUAAUGAACAGGGAGCAACUAGUGUACAUCCAUUGAUGCUAGCUUAGAUGAGAAUAAUUUGCUUUGGCGCAUAUUAUUUGUGGGUACUGUCUUGAUGAGAUUAGUGUUGUUAUUGACAUCGAGAUAUCUGUACAUCGCACAUGCUUGUGACUCUAAUCACAAUACUAGUAAGUAGUUCUGAAUGUGUGUAAAAUCCAGAGAGAGCAAAUUAAUAGUUUAAUAAUGAAAAAUGUUUUCAGUUUAUAUAUCCAUUGUUCCUUGUAAAACAGGGCCUUGUUUAGUUCCCAAAAAAUUUUGCAAAAUUUGUCAGAUUCCCCGUCAUAUUGAAUCUUGCGGCACAUGCAUGAAACAUUAAAUAUAGAUAAAAGAAAUAACUAAUUGCACAGUUUACCUGUAAUUUCCGAGAAGAAUCUUUUGAGCCUAGUUAGUCCAUGGUUGGACAAUAUUUGUAAAAUACAAACAAAGUGCUACAGUACUCAUUUUGUAAAAAAUUUUGGAACUAAACAAGGCCCAAGAUAAAUUUAUCUUUUUUGUGAAUGUAUGUUUCACCUUUUUUUUAGGAGAAGUGAAAUAUUUGUUGUAUUGGUGAACUUGCCUAAGGCCUAUUGCAGUAGCUUUUAGGGUCGUUCCUUCUCUUUCUGGCAGGAUGAUCGUUUCAUGUAUGGUAGAUUGUGGAUGUGUGUGUUGUACAGAGUUGAGUAAUCUUUCUUCUUAAAGUGUUCGAUAGAAAAGACCCCCCCACCCCUCUCUGGGGAGUAGUUUUGCUACGUGCAUGCCUCUUUUGCUUUUUUUUUUUGGGAUGCAAAUUGUAAAUUGUUAAAAUCAAUGUAGGGCAGACUUCUGUCAAGAAAAUAUUUGCAGGUUCAAGAAACCUCAGAAACCAACAAAAAGUUAUUGCCAUGGCAUGGGCCCUACUUUUCCACCUUUGCCUGUUAAAAGUAACUAAUUCUAGACGUGUGUUCUUUCUCCAUUGGAUCCAUACAAAUAUGUAGAGGGUAACAUGUAGCCUUUUACACAUUUCAUGAAUAACAAAUGACUCCCUAAUCCAGCAUGAUUCCCCAGUACUUCUAAAAAAAAUGACUUGGUCACAUGGAUAUAGGGAUUGCUUAAACAUUUUUUUUCAUUUGCAUGAAGUUAUGUGUCUAAGGCAGACACAAGAAGUCAAUGCAACUUAUUGGUUGAUAUCUUAUUAUCUCGUGAGAUUUUUCUGGUGGCAUAUCUUCUGAAUGGUUGUUAUUUUGACAUGUGGAUAUGCAAAUUAUUUGCUGUGCCUGUACGGACUCACUUCCUAUAUGGUACUGAUCAGUACUUAAUGAUCACUUGUAUGUCUUUCCAGAGAAUGCUCGUGUAAUGGUCCUGGCUGCUACAAAUAGGCCUUCUGAGUUAGAUGAGGCCAUCCUAAGGCGCUUUACUCAGAUAUUUGAGAUUGGAAUUCCUGUUCAGAGUGAAAGGAGCAAGAUACUUCAGGUUGUGUUGAAGGGAGAAAAUGUCGAGCCUAAUAUUGAUUACGAUCACAUUGCAAGAUUGUGCGAGGGCUUUACUGGAUCAGACAUCCUCGAGCUGUGCAAGCAGGCAGCAUUCUACCCUAUUAGGGAGCUAUUGGACAAUGAGAAAAAUGGGAGGCAAUUAGAUGUGAGUAUUCUUACUUCUGUUUCCACUUAACCUGGAGCUAUACAGGAUUGCAUGCUGUUUUCUGAAAAAUCAAUUUAUAAACUCAUGGCUAAACUAGAACUCAUGGAUAACACACACCACCCCUGCCCCACACCAAGUUGUGGGGCUGCCAAUGAGGGUUUAAAAAAGGGCCUCGUUUAGAUAUAUGAUAUACUGGUUUCAGCAUGUUUUCUCUACCUAUAAGAAAAUGUCUUGGUCCAGUGUUUUUUUUUUUAUUUAGUCCCAAACUAGAAUACACAUUCCCUUCUGAUAACUCAACAGUGUUCGCUAUAGUCUGUUAACAUAUGAUGUUGAUUGUUACCUUGGAAUAUGUUGAUUUUAUAUGUUGGAUUCGUGUAUAAAAUUCAGAUAGAAUUGUUAUUUGGACUAAAGGUUAUCUGUCUGUAGUUUUGCUGUUUAUAUUUGGAUACUGGUGAAGAAGUGAAGUUCGAUAACUAGUCUCACAUUGGUUUUUGCUUCUUCUCUUCCUACUGCUGUUUCAGAAACCUAGACCUUUGAGACAAUCAGACUUGGAGAGAGCCCUAUCAACGUCUAGAAAGGGCAAGAAGGCUGCAAGUUCAGGACUGCAGUCACCCUUGUGGGUUCAGCCGACAGAUUCAGAAGACGAUCAGGUACAGAACGCGAUCUUUGAGAUAUCUAAGCUGAUGUCUCGAAUAGUUCAGAACAGUCAGUCAGAACCGCAAGAGCCUUCUUCACCUUAAUCUAAUCCUUUUGCUAGAUCUCGUGAAAAUCUACAGUGGAGUAAACGCAGGCAUUACGUCGAUACCGUUAGGUUUUCUUAUGCAGCUUGCAGAGGUUCAGCAUAUGUAUUAUUUCUUUUUGCGUGGCGAUGCUGCACCUGGUUUUUUGAAGCUAACUGCAGCUGGCAAAGUGGCAAGUGUGCCAUGGUGUUUAAGUUGAUCAUUCAAAGUUCAUGCCCCUAUGGGCAGCAAACUCAGAACUCCAUAGUUGUCUGGCCAACAAUUGGUCCUGGUUGCCUUGUAUUUUAUUUUCAGUUUAACUAAUCUAGGGUAUCGAAUUACGCCGUAGUAAUGCAGAAAGGGCCCCUUAAGUCUCAUCAUAUUCCCAAACGUGCUUCGAUUUUUGUUUGGUCUGAUUAUUAUUUACAUAAUACAUGUAUAACGUUCCUUUUUUAUCUUUUAUUAUCUCCGUUAAGAAAAAUUCUUUCGGAGCACAAUCUGUUUGAACUUAUUAGUCAGACACUACGAGGAACGCUGAUGGAAGCAGAGUGUUCUGUGAAAUACUAUACAUUUCCACUGUUGCAUGUAUACGCAACUAUGCAUGCACCACCACCGGUCACGUGCACGAGCAGCUGCUUGCUCUCCUCAAGGCGCUCGUCUCCAUGAUGGAUAUCUCAUCAGCCAGCGACAGCUUGGUGCCCUUGAGAGCCAGCACGUCGGCGGCGCCGGUGUCCUCGUCCGGCGCUGCCUCCAGCCUCUUCCUGGACACGUUAGCGUGGAUCUCCUGGAGCAGCGUGAGGAAGGCGCGCUCGACGUUGUCCCCGCUGAGCGCGGACGCCUCGGAGAAGAAGAGCCCCUGCUCCUCGGCGAAGAGCGGCCGCCUCGUCUGCCGCCACCGCACGGCGCCGGCCAGGUCGGCCUUGUUGCCGACGAGCAUGACGACGAUGGACUUGUCAGCGUGGGCGCGGAGCUCGGUGACCCAGCGCGCGGCGUGUCGGCUGGUGACGUCGUAGACGAGCAUGGCGCCCAGCGCGCCGCGGUAGUAGGUCCGCGCUCCUGGCCGGCGGUGUCCCAGAUCUGGGCCUUGACGCGGUGGCGGGCGAUGUCGACGGUGCGCGUCUGGAACUCGAUGCCGAUGGUGGACUUGGAGUCGAGGAAGAACUCGUCGCGGGUGAAGCGACCCAGCAGCUGCGUCUUCCCCACCGCCGAGUCGCCGAUCACCACGAUCUUGAACACGUAGUCCUCCUCCAUCGUAUCUCCGUUACACACCACUACUAAUAUCUUCUGCUUGCAGCUGCAGCUAAUGACUUAAGUUCAAUUCUCCGGCCGUCUCGUUCUUAGCUUGUAUAGAUUAGAUAUAUAUGCUUACAUAUGUCAUCUGUGUGUGUCUGCAUAUAUAAAAUAAAUAUAUGCUGGUGAUGACAUUGGCAUGUAUAGAGAGGGGAGUGGUUGAGAGGGAGACGAGGAGAGGUUGCUCUCGCUCCUGCUAUUGGAGGUGCUCAUAAGCAUCUUUCAUAAGGGAGACUGCUGCUAGGGUGUGAGCUGGGAGAGAUUAAAGCAAGAGUACGGAAUACUUAACUUGGUGUACGUUUGCACUAGUUCUACAGCGAGUUUGGUACACGUAUAUGGGCAUAUGGCACUUUUCUCUUUCGGCUUCGAUUCAUGGUUGGAAAGAAAAAAAAACUGUACUUAAGGAUAUGAAUGUAGGCGCAUGCAUGUGUUCUUUUCCAAGAAUGUUUUUGUUUGUUUUCGAUGCGUUGGUAUUUUUAUCUGCAUUCGUUAACUCCAUCGGAUAUGAUCAUCGUGUCUACCAUUCCAUCUCCAUCCACUUGGGUUUUGCUACAAAUAAUAAAUGACGGUGGAAGAUAAUACGAAUCAAAGUACAUGCAUGCGAUUAGCUUAUCGUAAUCCUAUACUCUUAUAAAGCAAAAACCUCACUGGCAAUUUCUUCUUGACAUACAAGAUGCCCACAUCAGCGUGUCACGCUUUCCACUAACAUUAGUUUAUACUAGUUAAUCUCUUCCUAAGAAUUAUAUGAAUAGGUAAAUUUUAUUCUAAAUCAAUAGUUCUUGCAGUAACGCACGGAUGUUCUCCUAAGAAUUGUAUGACUUGUUAAAUUUCAUUCUAAAUCAGUAGUUCUCGCAGCAACGUACGGGACGUUCUUCUAGUAUAAAGUAUACAGGAUGACAUAUUUCUCUCUAGUCAUAUACAACGCAAGCAUAAGACGAGAAGCCCAAGCAGCGAUUAUAUGCAGAUCGAUAUCAUGUCUUACGUAAUUGUUAACCUAAUCGGCUAAUCAUAUAUAUGACAUUAGCGGUUAGGUUUGCAAGUGGACCUGAUGAAGAAUAAAUUGAAGGUGAUUGGUUGAGGGAUGGAUAUUAAAUAUAAUCGGCAUUAGCAAAAACCGACUUACUCGAUGCGCAAUCAUCAACUGCUACUUUUGAUUUUUUUUCAAGACACAUUAUAACUAUACUAGCAGCUAGUGUGAUUACGUCUCUGCCUCUAACCAUCUUGGUUUUAUUUCUUGGAUUUCCAGUUGCUGUGUCAUGUCCUGUCCUGCUUAUUAACGAUUCAUCAGUGCGAUGAGAUUGUCAGUAUGCAUAAUCUGGCUAGCCAGGCCGUUACAUGAUUCAGUAUCUUUGUUGGUUCCAGGCAGUUGUUCCGACCUCAUUUAGAAACUCCGGCGCGUGAUCAUCAAACUGCUUGAAAAUUGAAAUUAUUAUUUAUUAAAGCGUGGUUCAGGGAAUCAUGAAGUGGUUUCUAGCUAAGCAAACCAAUCACCAAUUAAAGCUUCAGCAGUUGCUGCUGAUGCCACUGCUGCCGAGCAGUUUUGCAUGCUGAUUCUGAACACUCUGACGAUGUUCAUAUGUGCUGACGCUCGGCAUGCAUGCUGAUUGCAGUUUUGCAGGCGACUGUUUGCUGGUAUGAAAAACUAUGGUCUAAAGAAAAACACUACUAACUAGCAGAAAAAAAAUAUGAUUUAUUCAACCAACCUGAUCGUAGAAAUAGCCGUGGUGCAUGGCACCAUCCUAUAAAGUUGCUAAAAAUAUGUAAAUGGGAGUCUGGGAUAAAAUGUUGUAGCCACUAGCCAAGCAAGUAAACCAACCAAUAAUAAGUAAGCUCCACCUGUUUUGCUGCUAAAUGCUACUGCAUAUUCUGCAUAAUUCAGAGUGACAAAUGCUGUAGCGCCAAAAUGGUCGUGUAUUUGAUACAAAGCAUGCAUGGCGUAGUGUUCAUCAUUGUACAGAUGUUCAAUUAACUUUUGUUUAAAGCAGCAGGCCUAGCUAGUAGGCGUGGCGCGCGCGCGGCGGCUGGUGCGGCAGCAGGUGGUCGCAGAUGGCGGCGAACUCGGCGAGGGCCUCGGCGACCAUCCCGGUCUUGCCCUUGGCGACGAGCAUCCUGACGAGCGCGGCCACCCGCGCGUCCAUCUGCUCCACGACCGCGGCAGCGUCCACUUCCAGCCGCCCAGGGCGGAGGACGAGGAGCUUGCGCGCGUGGCGCGCGGCGCGGCGCAGCGUGCCGGCGCGGGCGCACGCGUCGGCCAGCGCGGCAGCGUACCCCGUCGCGGCGCGGCUGGAGGAGCGCGCGGCGGGUGGGGCUUGAGCUGGGACCGCGGGCGCCGGGGACGACGGCGAGAUGGGGCGCGCGGCGACGGCGAGGCUCAGGCGCGCCGAUGGAGGAGCCUGGGCGUGGGCCUUGGACGACGGCGCGUUUGCGGCGCAGUGGUUGUGGUGGUGGUGGUGGUGGGGCGCUGGGAGAGGGAGCGGGUGCGCGCCGUGGACGUGGUGGUGCAGGGGCAGGGAGAGGGAGAGGGAGACGGCGGCGUCCAUUGUGCUGUGCUGUGCUGGCCUGCUGGGGGAGACGACGGACGGAGAGGAGAGGCACAGCCACACGGUUAUUCUGCUAAGCGGGUGGCGGCUCCAGGCCACGCCACGGGGCGUGGGUCCCGACGACGGCACGUCCGCACGGGCGCGGGAGGGAGAGGAUGGGAACGACGUGGUGGAGGAGGCGGACACGCACACGGCGCCGGUGAGCUGAGCUGGGCGGACUGGACCGGGGACGGGGACGUCUCUGAUGGGCGCCGCCGCGCUCCUCAGCGGUGGGCCGCGCGAAUGCCGUGGGCUCUUUUUCUUGCUUCCAGAGAGACCGACCGAGACCAGCACCACCUGUUCCUGUUGGGAGGUGGGACGAAACGAAACCCGAGAGGAUAGCCCACCGGAACGGAACCUCCGAUCCUCUCCACGGUCAAUCAAUCAUGUGCCAUUGCUGUGCCCAUGCCGUCCUGCCUCCGAUCGCCGACCUUUGGUAAAGGUGCAGCAAGCAUGCAGAUGCAGUCAGACUGCUCAACAGUGUGCAGGAGCACGCAUGCACUUUUUUUUUUUUUUUUUUUGCAAGAUCUAGACACAGACAUGUACGCUCAUGACAAAUAUCAAAAUUAACAAAGUCAAAUAGGCCACCCUAACUCUCAAGUCCAGAAGUUGAAUCUAAGGCCUGAUUCUGAUUUAGUUUCUGGAAAUUUUUAAGAUUUCUUGUCAUAUCAAAUAUUUAGAUAUAUAUAUAAAGCACUGAAUAUAAAUAAAAAAUAAUAAUUAAUUAUACAAUUCGUUUGUAAUUUAUGGAGAAAUCUUUUGAACCUAAUUAAUCUAUGGUUGGACAAUAAUUGUCAAAUACAAAUAAAAAUGGUACGGCAGACAAACCCAAAAAACUUCACCAAUUAACUAAACAAGGCCUAAGUGAACAGAUAUACCACCACAGAGAACCUAACCUAUAUUCAGUCACCGUUAGAUGCACCUUCAAUUCAAAAAAAAAAUCGAUCUUGUUUAUAGAUGACAAGCAAUUCUAAGUCCAUUUAAAUCUAAAAAAUACCCCCCUCCCCCCCAAAAAAAACCUGGGUCGUAAGAAGUUUAUUAGAUUUUAUUUGAUUGUACUUAUAUCCACCUUAAUCUAUAUACGCUGAGUUGAGUUGAAAUUAAAGUUUGUUAUUUUUUCUAAUUGAUAACUUGAGGUAGAUAAUAUGAGUUUAGCCAAACAAGGUCUUAAGGUGCUCUGCACCUAUAGCACCCCGAAUCAUGGUAUAUUUCUUCAUUUUCACCACAACAGAGACAUUGAACAUAUAGAACACUUAAAUAAUGAUAUUUUAGACAUCCAGAUCAACUUGCUCAUAUAGUUAGCCUAUUUGGGACUACUUUGUUCGCUUUCAACUUCACUAGCCAAACAUGGAUAGCUCCAAAUGCUGCUCCAGGAUAAAAGGUAGAGUCGAAGGUCAACUCUAGGUUUUUUGUUAUAGAUGGAUUCCGUCUCCAAAAUGAGAAUAGUUAUAAAAUCUUUCGAUCAGCAAACAGUGAUUAUAUAUUCGUCUGAUCCCGUUUCCUUUCGAAAUGAUAGAUGAAUAUCUAUCGUUUAUUAAUAGUUGAGGCGUGUGUCAACUUGCCGCUCUGCAGACUGCAGGUUAUUAUAGUUUACAUAUAUAUAUAUAUAUACGACAUUAAUCCCCCCUAGACAAAGGCAAGGCAGCCAUGCAUGCGCCGCCAACAGGUUCCAUGACACUGCCCAUGCCCUCCUGCCCCUACCACCCAUGGUUUUUUGCUUGCUUGCGAGUUGCAAGUUUGCAACGACGACACACACACCCCUCCGGACGACCGGACCCCCCAAGCAUGGCAGGCAGCGCGCGUGCAGACAAGGCCGCACACGCACGAGGAGGCACGCGCGCACACAUAUAUAUAUAUAACCUCCUGGGACAGCAGCUCCGUCUACCGCGAACCGAACCAACAAGAAGAGGUAGAGAGGAAGAAGAACACGCCUCGUUGGGCUAGCUUGGGCAUCAUAUAUAUCGAUCAUAUCUUUGCCGCCAUGCAUGGCUCCAUAUAUACCUAAGCCUAGCUAGCUAGCUAGCUAGGAGCCACCAUCGAUCAUCAGCUAGCAGCUUCUUCUAGCUCUCUUCUCGAUCUUGUCUUCUCUGAGAGCCGGCCGGCAAGCAAGGCAUGGAUGGAAAGGGCGCCAGCAUAGCAAGCAAGGGGAUUACCAUGCCAUAGCUGCCUUGCUAGCUAGAGAGUGAGCAGGCGCGCGCGCAUGAAAGAGACCAACAAGGUCACGGCGGAGGCGAUGGAGGAGGAGGAGGAGGAGGAGGAGGAGGAGGAGCGGUACGUGAAGGUGGGGACGAGGUUCUACCGGGUGACGAUGAGGCCAAACGGCGGCGGUGGCGCCGGCGACGCCGUGGCGCGUCGUCGUCGUCGCCUCCACUACCUCGAGUCCUGCUACCUCUGCAAGCAGAGCAUCGCCUGCGACCGCGACGUCUUCAUGUACAAGUACGUGCGUGCGCCAUCGCGCCAUCGCUCGUCGUCUUCCCCUAGCUCUCAUCACCUCCCUCCUUUCCCUGUUCGUUCGUUCCAUGCAUGCAUCACACAUGUGCACACAGGGGGGACGCGGCGUUCUGCAGCGAGGACUGCAGGGACGACCAGAUGGACAUGGACGAGGCGCUCCACGCGGCGGCGCGGCGCCACCGCCUCCUGCAGCGCUCUCCGGCGUCCGCCUCCUCGCAGUCGUCGCAGGCGGCGGCGUCGACCAGGCCUCCGCCGGUGAUGCGCCGCCGCCCCACCAUCGCCAACCUCGCCGCGCGCAACCCGCCCGUGGCCGCCAGCUAGCCAGUACCCGUGGCGGCCACUCCACUCGUCGACAAGCUUGCUCGGGCAGCGAGGACUCUUCAGUGCGGCUGCACCGAUCAGCUAGCUGUAGGCCGUACCCGUACCUGUACGUAGGCUACCUAGGCAUGGAUGAGUGUGUUGCAGCCAGGAACCGUCGUCGCGGGAUGAGUAGGGUGAUUCUUUUCUGCCGCCAUGGAUGAGUUGCAGACUGCUUGCAGCAGGACGCCAUUACCGCCGGCAGCAGCAGUUAGCUAGCUAGCAAGAGCUACGACGGAGCACGCACGGACUGACGAUGGACGGCACGCAACUGGACGCUACGUAGAAACGAAUAACGAAGCUUUGUGGUGACUUAGCUACCUACAUGUACAAAAUCAGUAGUAGUAAAUUAAAAGAUUAAUUAUAUAUUAUUACCAUGUGUUCUUGAGCUAAAUUUCUAGCUUCAUUAUUUCAUCUUCCUCUCGUUUUACUAUUUACUUCAUUUCUUGCAUUUUUUUCUUCCCAUGAGGUCCAUCGAUGUGACUUUUGAAAUGGACGGGUGAGAAAUUCAGAACGAUGCGAUCGAGUUAACAAGAGAUAUGGGCCUUGUUUAGUUUUCAACAAAAACCAAAAAGUUUUUAAAAUUCUCCGUCACAUCGAAUCUUACGGCACAUGUAUGAAGCAUUAAAUAUAAACGAAAAUAAAAACUAAUUAUACAGUUUGUCUGUAAAUCACGAAACAAAUCUUUUGAUCUUAUUUAAUUCAUGAUUGAACAAUAUUUACCACAAACAAACAAAAAUACUACAGUAGCAAAAUCCGAAAACAUUUCACAUCUAAACAAGGCCAUCGUCGAGGUGCCACGGCAUGCACACUUGUCUUCCAUUAGUCUGAAGAAGGGCAGUUAAUCCUAACCUUUUGUCCUAAACAUAAUCUCACUUGUACUACCUGCCAACUUUUUUUACCAGGGCUUAGCCUGCAAGAUUUCAGACGCCUCAUCAUUUCAUCCUUCACUUCUGUCUUCUGAUUGAUGACGAUUCUUGUUUCUAUUUUCAUGCUCAAAAUAAUUGCAAGAAACUGGCAGCAACACAAGGGUAAUAAUUAUAAUUAAGCUAGCAUCAUGUUCCUUUGCUUUGCAGCAACCACACGUACUGAUGAAAGCAAAAGCUUACCACCCAUUAUUUCUGUCCUGGUGUGGAAAGAAAAAGGGACAGUGCAGUGUUUAAGUCACAGUCAAGGACACUGCCACAGUGUGAAUGUUUUCUAGUUGCACAUACUUUGCACUGUCCAUUCAGCAUGUUCGUUUGCCAUUCUCUCAAUCAUUCAUCAAAGUUUUUCUUCCUCAUAACAAAUUAAUAAAUAAUAUUUUCAGACAUAACUUAUCAUACCAAGCAAACAUCAGAAACAAAUUGCUUCUCUUUUCCAACAAAAGUAUAAUUUUAGAAUAGUGUUAAGUCAACUGAUUUGAAGUUUGACCAAAUUUAAAUUAUGUAAAAAUAUUCUAAUAUUUGUCAAGUAUCGUGAUUCUUUAUGAAAUAUUAUAAUAUAUUUAUUAGAGCCAUGCAUGUUGAUAAUAUGUCCUAUUUAGAGUCACAAAAUACUUUGACCAUACCUGAAACCACAUAGAGAAGUUUGCAUUGAUCUGCAUGUCAACGUGAUGCAUCACCGUGCAAUGAUUUCAGACACUACAAUUUAUAACAAAUUACCGAACGAAUGCACUUUUGACCUUGAAAUGAUCCAUGUUAUUGAUUGUUGAAUGCUGUCAGCAAAUGAGCAGACAUAUAUGAGCAAGUGGGAGCAAAUCUACCGUAAACACAACCAAGCGCACCGUUUUUUCUUUCAAUGAACUGGAGGGACCGAAGUCCCUACAGGAAAUAUAUUAAAGCAAAAAGAAGUUCAGAACGAAUACACAAAAACAGAAACAGGAUAAAAAGACCCGGACCAGCAGCAGCACAGGGAGUUCAGGAGAGUAGGAGACAAAGAAAGAAAUAAAGAAAAUAAGCCUACUCUUGCAAACUAUUGUAGACUCUAAAUCCAUGAAUCAAACUGGAAUUGGAGACCAGGCUUGAUCCUGUAUUGAAGAAGGGAGGUCUCUAUGAGAAAAACCCUCCGGCAACCUGCUAGGCUCGGCUGAAUUCCUUUGAAGAUGAGAUCAUUCCUCAUCAUCCAUAGUGCCCAGCACAUAAGAAUAAUCGUCUCCAAACCAAGCAAGCACACCGUUGGCACUACUUUUCCGGGAUCCAAAUUUACAAACAGAUCACACGAAAUCUAAAAUUCAGCCACUAUAGGCCCAUACAGAUAUGUGAGUUGCUAUAUUUUAGGUGCUUCAAGUUUUAGACAAAACAACCAAUCAGUACAAUUAAAAAGACAACUUACGAUAGAUAGUAAUUCAUAAUUUUUUCUACUAGUCCAACAAAGAUAAGAUCAUGCUGUCUGAACAACUAAAAAGACCAGGCAGCUGAAAUACAGGCUAAGGCCUUGUUUGGAUGUUGUCGGAUUCACUUCAAUCCAUAUGUGUUGGUGUGGAUUGGGGUGAAAUUUAGUUCAAGUUCCACUCCAAUCCACCUCAACCCAUGUAGAUUGAUGUGAAUCCGACUACAUCAAAACAAGGCCUAAACUGUAUUAUUAAUAAGUGACUCAUGAGUGCAGCCAAUGAAAGCCUAGCACAAAGUUAAAAGAGACCAACUGACCAACAAAGCGAUGAUUGUAACAGGUCUUGAAUCCAAGUGGAUGCAGUGCGUACGAGAAUCCGUCGUCUUCGAUCGUGGAUGCUUCCACAGGCUAGACUAGAAAUUUAGUGUGACGUUAACAACUUAACAUGCGAAUAAUACAAACAAUACGAUGCCACUGGAGUCUGGAGAUAUUCCAAGAGCUCGAGUGUGACUGCAAGAAAAGGGGCCAGUGAGUCAUGUGCCCCUUGGCUUCCUCACACCACCACCAUAUAUGAGAAGGACAAGAGCGCCUAUCAAACUUUGCAAAGGGAGGAUUAAAGACUGAAGAGUGCACAUCACUAGAUGGAGAGGAAGACAGAUGGAAAGGUCUGGGGAUUCUUCUACCUGACAGCAAUGUGAUCAUUAUUCUGAUUUCUAACAAUAUGCAACAAAGCGUGUUAGCCUUUGGUUGGUUUUACUCCACUACCAUUAUUUACCACUUCAAGAGAGGGACAUAUGAUGAAAAUUCUACUUCAGAUCUGGUGCCAGUCCCAGUCUGAAACUCUGUGGAGGGGACGAGCUGCAGGUCUAGGAUACUCUCGUUAUCCUUUCUCUACAUGACUACAGCAGAAAAUUUAGUGAGAAUCCUACUUACAAUUUCUCAAACCGUGCAAGAUCUACCAAGCUACGAAGUAGUAAUAAUGGUAUAUACGGUCGAACAAAACACAAACCCAUACCAAGAAUGAAACAAAACAAAAACAAAUAACUCUGCACCCAACUAGGAUCAGGAUAAAACAUGCUGGAAACAAAAGGGUAGCUAUUCUCUGUAGCAAUCUGAUCCUUUCUGACCCUGUUUCCUGUUUAAGUUCAACUCAGUCAGAGUGGUAGCUUUCAGGCAAGCCAAACUGUCUGGUUUUGUUGAAAAAGUGCACCUGAAUGAAUUAUCCGAGAAGCAUAAAACAACAUGAGUUUUCUGUAGUCAGGAUAACCCAAUAUGGCCCCUUUUCCUAGAAAUGUUGAUUUGAGUCAGAAUCACUAUAAUAGCACCUCAACACGGUAUCACUCCAUAUUGUGCUUCCUAUUUCUAGCACAUAAUAUUUGUAUCUGCAAAUACCAGAUUUGGAAGAAAAAAGUUUGAAAGGAAUUUAUUUUUUCCAUAAAGUUCAUCAGGAAUUGAUGUUUUCCAUAUGGGCCUAGCAGAUUUCAUUACAGGACAGCAAAAGAAUGGGCACCCGUUCACUUUCAAAAUGUAGUCCUAUGCAAAAAACUAACGACCAGGAGCAGAACUCAUGUAUUUAAACUACCUUUUUCUAAUAUAAUGAUACACGCACUCGUGCGUAUUGAAAAAAAAAUGGGCACCCAUGUUUAAGACAGCUCAGCAUGAAAGACACCAAAACACAAAUAAGCAUCAAUUAAAACGAAACAUCCAAGCUCAGACCAGCCCAGCUACUACAUAGAACUAAUUGCCAAGAAUGAAUUAUUGUGCUGAGGUCCAAAGGCAUCUGCGACACGUAAACAGAAAACAAAAAGUUAUAUACCCAAAAUAUCUAUCAACAUACAGAUGCUGUGUUCACAGUUCCAUACUCGAGUCAUUCUUGCUUGUGCAAGCAAUCACAAACAGUAGACUUGAAAAAACAGAAAAUAGGCACCAUGGGUAUCUUCAGGUUUUCAAGAAGCGGUCAUGAUAAAAGCUCAUCAGAAAAUAUAUACUCAUUAUCCCUUCUCUACCACAGAAAAUUCUGUGAGAAUCCCAAUAGGUUCAUAGGAUUUUCAAAGGAUUCUUUCUAAAAAAAAAGUAAAAAGGAACACAGAUCACUAGCAAAGUAGCAAUCCUUCCAAUAAUCCCCCAAUACCACCCCUCAUCCCCAUAAAACUAUCAUAUUGAGAGAGAUAUACUCCCUCCAUUUAUGAUUUAGAGGUUGUUUAUGAUAUGAUUGUGCAUACCAAGAAGUGAUUAAUUAGUAUAGAGUUUUUUCCUAUUUACCCUUAUUAAAUAGGACUGUGGGACACCAAAGGGAUUCGGCUCGAUUGGUUGUUGCAGCGUCUCCCGAGGCGGCUGAGACUGAAGCUCUCAAGCUCGAGUCGACGACCUCUAAGGGUCCCUUUGGUUGGACUUUUGAACCUGCUUUUGCUUUUGUAAAAGCCAAAAGUCAACCAAAGGGCCCAAAAGCCACAAGUGCUUUUCCCCAAAAGCAGCUUUUCUCGUAGUACAAAUCCAAAAGCACCUCACCCCCCUGCUUUCACUGACUUUUGGGAUCCGUUCAGUUUUUUUUCCAAAAGCCACGAGUGACCAACCAAAUGACUUUUGGGUUUCUCAAAGCCCACAUCCCACAGCAGUUUUUCAAAAGCUCAAAGCUCACAGUAGCUUUUCCAAAAGUCACAGCCCAACCAAAUACACCCUAAAUCCUAUAUGGAGGGAGUACUACUUUUUCUUCUCCAACAGUCUCUCAAUAUCUCUUCCUUUUUUGUGGCCACUAAUAUUUCUCUCAUCUUUCCUCAAAGAAAAGAGAAGAUACAACUCCCCCAAUACCAUGGGGACAAUACCAACUAUCAUUUUUCGGUCAUAUUUUCUCUUACACUUUUAUGGGACCCACCUUUCAUAUGAGUAGACUAUCUCCAAUAGGUGACCCACCCAUAUGGGCACCCAAACCCAAAAUGGGUAGCAAGAGACCCAAAAUCAUCCUCCAAUAGAGUACAUAUAUAGGAGACCCAUUUUGGGUUGCCUGAGAGGCACUAGUGCACAACCCAAAUAUUGAUAUCCUCACUCCUAGAAACUCAUUUGCAGAAAGGAUUCUAUUUUGGGUCUUGUUGUUGGAGAAUAUAUCGAAUGAGUAUUGAACCUUUUACCUGUAGUACUACUCAAACGUUGAAUGAGUCUUGUAUUUUGGGUAUUGUUGUUGGAGAUAAAGAUAUAUUAGGGUACUGCUGCAGCAUCUCCCCCUAUAAAUUAAGAAAUUGAUAUUAGGCUACUCCAAUAUUAUCCUAUUGAGAGUUGUACCGGGAACUGUCGAAGAUGCUCUUGCCCUGUUUUUACUCCUGUCCAUAAAGUCAAGAAUGGAAUCUUUUGGGCAAUUCAAGCUGCUUGAUUUUAUUCAAAAACUGCACCAAAUCAAAUUAUCUGAAGAUCCAAUAACUCGGCCUUGUUUAGUUCCUCACACAAAAACUUUUCACUUAUCCCGUCGAAUCUUUCAACACAUGCAUGAAGCAUUAAAUGUAAAUGACAAAUAAAAACAUUGUUGGCUGAUAAAAAAAAAGUAUAGUUUAUAAGACAAGCGAACGAAGUACAAUUGCACAGUUUGGUUGUAAAUCGUGAGACGAACUUUUUAAGCCUAAUUAGUCCAUGAUUAGUCAUAAUUGCUACAAUAACCAACAUAUGCUAAUGGUGAAUUAAUUAAGUUUAAUAAAUUUGUCUCACAAUUUUCAGACGAGUUAUGUAAUUUCUUUUUUGAUUAGUCUACGUUUAAUGCUUCAAAUGUGCGCCGAUAUAUCCGACGUAACACCCAAAAGUUGUCUGCCGACUUGUGUGUCUAGUGCGAAAUUAUAAGAGAGGAUUUGUGUUGCCCUUUCAAACAGUUCAGACCACCUUGUCCGAGGGUUCAGAAGUUUGUGUUGGAGAAGUGUAGGAAAUGUAAUCUUGCUUGGGUUGGCUUAAACAAGGUUGCUCCUCUACAGCCUGAUGAGAUGGAGUUUCUACUCGGCUUUCCAAAGGAUCACACCAGAGGUGUCAGCAGGACAGAGAGGUCAUGCCAGAUUUGGCUUGGCUGAAAAAGUCAGAGAACAAAGUCCUGUUCGCUAAUUUAUUGUGAGAGAAACACUGUUGAAUGACUGAUAGAUUCGGAUGAUAACUGGCUGUCACGCCACAUAUCAAAUGAUAUCAUCUCUCGUUUCUUUGAAUUCAAAAGGCAGUCUCCCUAAAACAGAAACCUACAAAAUAUAGGUCGGGCUGCUUUGGCCUUCCUCUAACAAUAUUUCUCCUUGUUGAACACUUCUAAUAGCUAACCAGAUUAGUUCUACAUUCUUGUUCUUCGCAUUGCAGACCUGGACCUGCAGUAGGGGGUGGAAAUCACCAUGUAAGUCCCCAUGUAAACUCUUAUUGACUCGGUUGGCGGUUGACAUGUGUUAUUUGUGCCAGAAAGAGAGGAAAAAAAACAUCAUGGUUACAUGAAUAAGACUGAACAGAACAAUCAUAUAAUGAACAAUCAGUGAUUUCUAGGACUAGGACAUUCGCUGUGCUAACACCAGUGCCACAAGGAUCAUCAUCACCAGCCAUCUUACUACCUUAAUUUUAGUUCUUUGGCUACCGUACAUGUUGUUUAGAAGUUUGAGGGUUUGUGACCCCCAUGGGCCAUAGCUCCAAUUAUUCCCAUGCUUUCCCUAACAAUAAUGUCCAGCCAGAUUAAAAUUUUCAUGUAUGCAACAUUGUCCACAAAGUCUAGCUUUUUGGUCCAAGAUAAAAGACAAUGUAAUCGUUACUGCCACUGGUCUCCCACCAUCCUCAGUCCAUGAAAAUUAUACCAGACAACUAGCUAGAAUUAGUGUGAGAUUAUAUCAAUUGGUUCUGAAUAGGCAAUGUGGCAGUGAAUCCUGCCUGCCAUGGCUUCAAAACAGGGCAAUAAGCCAGCCAGAGAUUUGCUUCCAGGGACCUCACUAGAUUGUCUAGGCAUGAUAUUAUAAUAAUAAGCAUGCCCAUCUCAAAGAGUAAAAUGAAAUGAUGUGUCCUCAUCGACACAUAUUAUUGAAAACAAAACAAGCACAUUACGAAGGAAAAAGGCAUCUUUGGCUUGUUUCUUCAGUCUUGUGCAGUAGGCGAGUUGUGUUUUCCAGUCUAAAAAUUGAUGUUCAAUCUGUACACUCGUUAACACAUUAUGGUGUGUGUGGGGUGGGGGGAUCACAUCUCCAAGACUAGUUAUUCCAUCUACUACCUAGAAGGAUCCACAAGACAAGGUUAAGCACAUUUAGAUUUAGCACAGAAAAAGAGGAACAAAAUACCAUACCCCCACUAUGGCUUGGGAUGAGCAUCAGUAUCCGAGGAAGCGGCAGCAGUGGUGGUGGGCUUGUUGCUGCGGAGGUCGUCUAUGAUGCCACCAAGCUCACGCCGCGCGGACUCCCUUCCAAACAUGAAGCCAUACCUGCAACACAAGAGGCAUGUCGCGGGAGAUCUAGAAUGCUCCGAACGAACAAGAAUCAUCAGGAUGGGAGAUUGCGGGGGUACCAGAAGGAGACGGCGGAGAAGACUCCCGCAGCUGCCACCGUCUCAAGCAGGGUCAGCUUCUUCGCCUGCAUCGCCCGCUGAGAAUUGGGAAAGAUGGGAGUCGGGUCAGCCGCUAGCUGCGCGGUCCACAAAUUCAGUAAGGAGGUUGCAUAGAAGACCCGAGAUAGAAAGGCCGAGCGAGCUCACCUCCGUUUUGCUGUGCCACCGCGAGGUGUAGUUGGGGAAGACGAGGCGACCGAAGGCGGCGAUGGUUGGGGAAGGAGAGGGACGGAGGAUUGGAGGAAGGCUGCCACCUACCGGUGCCGGCACGAGACGACCUUCGCCGGCAAGGUAGCAGCAGAUCGGGGAGGUGCCGGCGGCGGCCGACGAAGGCUUGCGGACUUGCAGUUCUAGCCGAGCCCACGGCCCAUGGGAUGGAGAGCGACUAGGAUGAAUGGUUGGGCUGAGCCUUUGGGCUUUUUAUUUACUGGCAUUUUCGUAGAUGGGGAGUUUAAGUAGUAUCUACUAUCAAGUUCCACUCCGCAAAAUAUCUAUGGAUUGAUUUUUGAAGACUCACGUCCACUGGACAAAACACAGAAGAGUAUUUUUUUUUCUGUUCUAAAUUUAAAGUCAUUGACUUGUCUAGUUACAUAGUUUUUUUCUUAAAUUUAUGUAAUGUCUACAUAUAUAGUAAAAAUUAUAUAUCUAUGAAAUCAAAAUUAGAUUUAUAACUGAAUGAAGAGAGUACAUGAUAUGACACUAACACUCCAUAACCAUUUUUCCGUUCCACUCGAGAUGAGAGAGUCCCUAAUGAGUUCUCCUAAAUCAAAAAAAUUUAAGUUUGAUUAAUUUUAUAUGAAAGAUACUAACAUCUAUCAUAGCAAAAUAAUAUAUAUGAAAACGUAAUUACUAUUGUAUCUAACUAUAAUAAUUUUGUGUUACACAUAUUAGCAUUGUUUAUAAGUUUUAAAAAUUGAUUAAAGAUAAGUCCAGAAGUUGGUUUCAAAAAAUUGGCUAAGGAGUAACAGUUAGCACACACCAGACUCAUACCACUCCUCAUGCACGUCUGCAACACACGUUGGGUAUGAGAAUUCUUGCUGAAUUUUCAUUUGCGUAUUGAAAUCACAAAUUCACAAUCGAUCUUCACAUGUAGUAUAGCCUGUUCAGAGAAUUGUUCUUUUCUCCUGCUGUAUAUACCUCCUAUACACACAAACUUCGGAAUUUGGAAGACAGCCGGAGGAGGGCCAGAACGGGACGCCGGAGUGUAUUCCGGCAACACUCCCGCCGCCACUGUCACCUCUUCGUCGGCAGUCUGCCGUCGCCUCCUUUCUUUUUGUCAGCGGCCAGCGGCGGUGGCGGCUCCAUCUGCAGCACCCGUUCGAGCUCCUCGACGACGUCCCUCAUCGACGGCCGCUCCUUGGGGUUCUUGCCAAGGCAGCGGUCAGCGAGUCUGGCCACCUCGCGCGCGGCAGCCAGCGGGUACCGGCCGCCCAGCCGCGGGUCCAUGAUGGCCCGGAACCCAGCACUGUCCGGCGGGUGCUGCCGCACCCACCCCAGCAGCUUCUGCUCCUCCGCGGGGCGGCUGCGCUCCAGCGACCGCCGCCCCGUCAGGAUCUCGUACAGCACCACGCCGAAGCUCCACACGUCGCUCUUUGCCGUCAAGUGCCCUGUCUCGAUGUAGUCUGGCGCCGCGUACCCGUGCGUUCCCACCACCUGAGCCAUCACAGCCAGUCAGUUCAGAGCUUCAGAUGCGAGCACACAAUGCAAGAAGAAAAAUCAUGAGCACGCACCGCGGUGGAGACGUGUGUUUUCCCUUCGGUUGGACCCUCCCUUGCCAGGCCAAAAUCCGACAGUUUUGGCUUGAAUUCGGCGUCUAGAAGGAUGUUGGACGCUUUGAAAUCCCUGUAGAUCACCUGCCACACCAAAAGACUGGAUCAGAUCUUGACCACUUAUUACACAAUCUCGGUAUUCUUCAAAAUUUUUGAAGACAAAUUCAGCUAAAAAGUUGUGUGCAUGGUUAACGUGGUUUGGUUCAGAGUUCAAAGUUUCAGAGAGAGCGACCUGAACUUCAGGCACUCCUUCAUGGAGGUAAUCCAGACCCCGUGCAGCACCGAUCAUGAUCUGCAGCCUCUGUCUCCAUGAAAGGGGAGGAUGUGCUCGGUUGAACAGGUGGUCAUCCAAACUCUUGUUGGGCAUGAACUCGUAGACCAGCAGCCUGUGCUUGCUUGCUUCUGAAUCCACUGCGCAAUAGCCGAUCAGCUUUACGAGAUUCGGGUGCUCAAGAACACCAAGGAAUUGGACUUCAGCAAGCCAUUGCUUGUGCCCCUGAAAUCAGAUUAUUUAAAAGAAACUCAUUAAGUGUUAUAUUCCUUAAAAAUAAAUAAGUACAGUAUAUCUAGUGAACUGCUAUUUAUUCAUUUAAAAUAAAUAAGCACACUUAUUAAGGAACACAGGUCAAUACUUGAGAUUUGCAUGAAACUGCUUUCAUAUAUUUAUACUUGUGUUUGUGUAUAGUAUAAUUGAAACGUUCAGGAAAUUCUCUUUGUGUCCUUGUAUCUAAUUAUUGGUGUGAUCAGACGUUCAGGAAAUUCUCUUUGUGUCCUUGUAUCUAAUUAUUGGUGUGAUCAGACUUGCAGCAAUGUUUAUAUCGUGACGCUGAUCAUAGGUUGACUUAUGAUGCCAUCUUGACUAAUAUUCACAUGGUCCAAUCUACGAUUCCCAUUGAUAAUGACAUGUGUGGAUGUCCUUGUCCAGUUGGUUGGACCGAUAUUCUCUUUGAAGCUAUCCAAGCAAAUAUUUAUGUGUUUAAGAUUGUCAUCAAGCUCAAGUUAUCUAAUGGCUUCACUGCAAACCAACAACCUUCUGAGUUUGAUUUUAGGUUUAGAUCCAUAUCAGGGGACAAAGGCAGUUUGUGGCUUUGUGCACCCACCAGCAAUAAUGAUUUAGUAAAAUCGCGUAAUGUUCAUACACCAGAUAUGACAAAUCCACGGAGUUUGGCCACUGUGGACAAGAGGUCCUGAGAAAUUUCAGCCAAUAUAAUAAUAUUAUACAUCUCUUGUAGAGUGAAAAAUCUGAUAAACCUACCACUACCAAUUCUCUUUUAAAUGCUAAGUUGCAAAUUACUCUGUAAAUUUGUAGGGCUCCACGAAUUCGCAGCUUUGCUAAGUGUGGUUAAGAAGUCCGAUUAAUCCGCACCAGAAAAAUUCGCGCUUUCUGAUGAACAACCUUUGACAUGGCAUGAGAAAUUUUAAGCAGCCCAAAUAAUGCAGAGCAGAC
Molecule: long non-coding RNA, 54931 nt
Filed under: Sorghum bicolor (sorghum)
Lineage: Eukaryota; Viridiplantae; Streptophyta; Magnoliopsida; Poales; Poaceae
Description: long non-coding RNA (SBIC_LNC018408)
Rfam family: MIR5565 microRNA precursor family (bases 46302-46410)
Source: RNAcentral